UACUUACUCUCCCGCUCAAUCACGGAGACGAGUUUUCCACAGUUUCCACCCCUCCUUCCAUAGCACUAGAAAGCCGCCCCAAGACGAGCGAGCAAUGAGCAUCGAGCUAAAACAUAUCGCAACCGUCAAAAAUAAUAUAACGGGAUUAAUAUAUAUAGCGCACGUGCGAUAUGUUUGUCACAAGGAGCAAAAAAUAAUUAAAAAGGGAAUGCAACACGAGGACUUCCCAGGAGGUCACCCAUCCUAGUACUACUCUCGCCCAAGCACGCUUAACUUCGAAGUUCUGAUGGGAUCCGGUGCUUUAGUGCUGGUAUGAUCGCAUCCGACAUGUUUCCCCGACUUCGUCCCUUAUGCUUGCCACUCCCAGGUCCGCUCCAAAGACGAUUCUACAUUCUCACUAUCAUUACAACCGUUCCCUAACAAUGGAUAAUGUCCUAUACUACUUACUCUCCCGCUCAAUCACGGAGACGAGUUUUCCACGGUUUCCACCCCUCCUUCCAUAGCGCCACAAAGCCGCCCCAAGACGCAUGACCAAUGAGCAUCGAGCUUAAACAUAUCGCAAACGUCAAAAAUAAUAUAACGGGAUUAAUAUAUAUCACGCACGUGCGAUAUGUUUGUCACAAGGCGCCAAAAAUAAUUAAAAAGGGAAUGAACCACGAGGACUUCCCAGGAGGUCACCCAUCCUAGUACUACUCUCGCCCAAGCACGCUUAACCCAAGCACGCUUAACUUCGGAGUUCUGAUGGGAUCCGGUGCUUUAGUGCUGGUAUGAUCGCAUCCAACAUGUUUCCCCGUCUUCGUCCCUUAUGCUUACCACUCCCAGGUCCGCUCCAAAGACGAUUCUACAUUCUCACUACCAUUACAACCGUUCCCUAACAAUGGAUAAUGUCCUAUACUACUUACUCUCCCACACAAUCACGGAGACGAGUUUUCCACGGUUUCCACCCCUCCCUCCAUACCGCAGCAGCACGAGUUUUUUCCACCCCUUUCAGAACGCGCUCUUCGCGCCACAAAGUCGCCCCAAGACGCGCGAGCAAUGAGCAUCGAGCUUAAACAUAUCGCAAACGUCAAAAAUAAUAUAACAGGCUUAAUAUAUAUCGCGCAUGUGCGAUAUGUUUGUCACAAGGCGCAAAAAAUAAUUAAAAAGGGAAUGCAACACGAGGACUUCCCAGGAGGUCACCCACCCUAGUACUACUCUCGCCCAAGCACGCUUAACUUUAGAGUUCUGAUGGGAUCCGGUGCUUUAGUGCUGGUAUGAUCGCAUCCGACAAAUUUCCCCGUCUUCGUCCCUUAUGCUUGCCACUCCCAGGUCCACUCCAAAGACAAUUCUACAUUCUCACUACCAUUACAACCGUUCCCUAACAAUGGAUAAUGUCCUAUACUACUUACUCUCCCGCUCAAUCACGGAGACGAGUUUUCCACGGUUUCCACCCCUCCCUCCAUACCGCAGUAGCACGAGUUUUUUCCACCCCUUUCAGAACGCGCUCUUCGCGCCACAAAGCCGCCCCAAGACACGCGAGCAAUGAGCAUCGAGCUUAAACAUAUCGCAAACGUCAAAAAUAAUAUAACGGGAUUAAUAUAUAUCGCGCACGUGCGAUAUGUUUGUCACAAGGCGCAAAAAAUAAUUAAAAAGGGAAUGAACCACGAGGACUUCCCAGGAGGUCACCCAUCCUAGUACUACUCUCGCCCAAGCACGCUUAACCCAAGCACGCUUAACUUUGGAGUUCUGAUGGGAUCCGGUGCUUUAGUGCUGGUAUGAUCGCAUCCAACAUGUUUCCCCGUCUUCGUCCCUUAUGCUUACCACUCCCAGGUCCGCUCCAAAGACGAUUCUACAUUCUCACUACCAUUACAACCGUUCCCUAACAAUGGAUAAUGUCCUAUACUACUUACUCUCCCGCACAAUCACGGAGACGAGUUUUCCACGGUUUCCACCCCUCCCUCCAUACCGCAGCAGCACGAGUUUUUUCCACCCCUUUCAGAACGCGCUCUUCGCGCCACAAAGUCGCCCCAUGACGCGCGAGCAAUGAGCAUCGAGCUUAAACAUAUCGCAAACGUCAAAAAUAAUAUAACAGGCUUAAUUUAUAUCGCGCACGUGCGAUAUGUUUGUCACAAGGCGCAAAAAAUAAUUAAAAAGGGAAUGCAACAUGAGGACUUCCCAGGAGGUCACCCAUCCUAGUACUACUCUCGCCCAAGCAUGCUUAACUUUAGAGUUCUGAUGGGAUCCGGUGCUUUAGUGCUGGUAUGAUCGCAUCCGACAUGUUUCCCCGUCUUCUUCCCUUAUGCUUGCCACUCCCAGGUCCACUCCAAAGACAAUUCUACAUUAUCACUACCAUUACAACCGUUCCCUAACAAUGGAUAAUGUCCUAUACUACUUACUCUCCCGCUCAAUCACGGAGACGAGUUUUCCACGGUUUCCACCCCUCCCUCCAUACCGCAGUAGCACGAGUUUUUUCCACCCCUUUCAGAACGCGCUCUUCGCGCCACAAAGCCGCCCCAAGACACGCGAGCAAUGAGCAUCGAGCUUAAACAUAUCGCAAACGUCAAAAAUAAUAUAACGGGAUUAAUAUAUAUCGCGCACGUGCGAUAUGUUUGUCACAAGGAGCAAAAAAUAAUUAAAAAGGGAAUGCAAAACAAGGACUUCCCAGGAGGUCAUCCAUCCUAGUACUACUCUCGCUCAAGCACGCUUAACUUCGAAGUUCUGAUGGGAUCCGGUGCUUUAGUGCUAGUAUGAUCGCAUCCGACAUGUUUCCCCGUCUUCGUCCCCUAUGCUUGCCAUUCCCAGGUCCGAUCCAAAGACGAUUCUACAUUCUCACUACCAUUACAACCGUUCCCUAACAAUGGAUAAUGUCCUAUACUACUUACUCUCCCGCUCAAUCACGGGGAUAUGUUUGUCACAAGGCGCAAAAAAUAAUUAAAAAGGGAAUGCAAAACAAGGACUUCCCAGGAGGUCAUCCAUCCUAGUACUACUCUCGCUCAAGCACGCUUAACUUCGAAGUUCUGAUGGGAUCCGGUGCUUUAGUGCUGGUAUGAUCGCAUCCGACAUGUUUCCCCGUCUUCGUCCCCUAUGCUUGCCACUCCCAGGUCGGAUCCAAAGACGAUUCUACAUUCUCACUACCAUUACAACCGUUCCCUAAUAAUGGAUAAUGUCCUAUACUACUUACUCUCCCGCUCAAUCACGGGGAUGAGUUUUCCACGGUUUCCACCCCUCCCUCCAUACCGCAGCAGCACGAGUUUUUUCCACCCCUUUCAGAACGCGCUCUUCGCGCCACAAAAGCCGCCCCAAGACGCGCGUGCAAUGAGCAUCGAUCUUAAACAUAUCGCAAACGUCAAAAAUAAUAUAACGGGAAUAAUAUAUAUCGCGCACGUGCGAUAUGUUUGUCACAAGGUGCAAAAAAUAAUUAAAAAGGGAAUGCAACACAAGGACUUCCCAGGAGGUCAUCCAUCCUAGUACUACUCUCGCUCAAGCACGCUUAACUUCGAAGUUCUGAUGGGAUCCGGUGCUUUAGUGCUGGUAUGAUCGCAUCCGACAUGUUUCCCCGUCUUCGUCCCCUAUGCUUGCCACUCCCAGGUCCGAUCCAAAGACGAUUCUACAUUCUCACUACCAUUACAACCGUUCCCUAACAAUGGAUAAUGUCCUAUACUACUUACUCUCCCGCUCAAUCACGGGGAUAUGUUUGUCACAAGGCACAAAAAAUAAUUAAAAAGGGAAUGCAAAACAAGGACUUCCCAGGAGGUCAUCCAUCCUAGUACUACUCUCGCUCAAGCACGCUUAACUUCGAAGUUCUGAUGGGAUCCGGUGCUUUAGUGCUGGUAUGAUCGCAUCCGACAUGUUUCCCCGUCUUCGUCCCCUAUGCUUGCCACUCCCAGGUCCGAUCCAAAGACGAUUCUACAUUCUCACUACCAUUACAACCGUUCCCUAACAAUGGAUAAUGUCCUAUACUACUUACUCUCCCGCUCAAUCACGGGGAUGAGUUUUCCACGGUUUCCACCCCUCCCUCCAUACCGCAGCAGCACGAGUUUUUUCCACCCCUUUCAGAACGCGCUCUUCGCGCCACAAAGCCGCCCCAAGACGCGCGUGCAAUGAGCAUCGAUCUUAAACAUAUCGCAAACGUCAAAAAUAAUAUAACGGGAUUAAUAUAUAUCGCGCACGUGCGAUAUGUUUGUCACAAGGCGCAAAAAAUAAUUAAAAAGGGAAUGCAACACGAGGACUUCCCAGGUGGUCACCCAUCCUAGUACUACUCUCGCCCAAGCACGCUUAACUUUGGAGUUCUGAUGGGAUCCGGUGCUUUAAUGCUGGUAUGAUCGCAUCCGAUAUGUUUCCCCGUCUUCGUCCCUUAUGCUUGCCACUCCCAGGUCCGCUCCAAAGACGAUUCUACAUUCUCACUACCAUUACAACCGUUCCCUAACAAUGGAUAAUGUCCUAUACUACUUACUCUCCCGCUCAAUCACGGAGACGAGUUUUCCAUGGUUUCCACCCCUGCUUCCAUAGCGCCACAAAGCCGCCCCAAGACGCGCGACCAAUGAGCAUCGAGCUUAAACAUAUCGCAAACGUCAAAAAUAAUAUAACGGGAUUAAUAUAUAUCGCGUACGUGCGAUAUGUUUGUCACAAGGUGCAAAAAAUAAUUAAAAAGGGAAUGCAACACGAGGACUUCCCAGGAGGUCACCCAUCCUAGUACUACUCUCGCCCAAGCACGCUUAACCCAAGCACGCUUAACUUCGGAGUUCUGAUGGGAUCCGGUGCUUUAGUGCUGGUAUGAUCGCAUCCAACAUGUUUCCCCGUCUUCGUCCCUUAUGCUUGCCACUCCCAGGUCCGCUCCAAAGACGAUUCUACAUUCUCACUACCAUUACAACCGUUCCCUAACAAUGGAUAAUGUCCUAUACUACUUACUCUCCCGCACAAUCACAGAGACGAGUUUUCCACGGUUUCCACCCCUCCCUCCAUACCGCAGCAGCACGAGUUUUUUCCACCCCUUUUAGAAUGCGCUCUUCGCGCCACAAAGUCGCCCCAAGACGCGCGAGCAAUGAGCAUCGAGCUUAAACAUAUCGCAAACGUCAAAAAUAAUAUAACAAGAUUAAUAUAUAUCGCGCACGUGCGAUAUGUUUGUCAUAAGGCGCAAAAAAUAAUUAAAAAGGGAAUGCAACACAAGGACUUCCCAGGAGGUCACCCAUCCUAGUACUACUCUCACCCAAGCACGCUUAACUUUGGAGUUCUAAUGGGAUCCGGUGCUUUAGUGCUGGUAUGAUCGCAUCCAACAUGUUUCCCCGUCUUCGUCCCUUAUGCUUGCCACUCCCAGGUCCGCUCCAAAGACAAUUCUACAUUCUCACUACCAUUACAACCGUUCCCUAACAAUGGAUAAUGUCCUAUACUACUUACUCUCCCGCUCAAUCACGGAGACGAGUUUUCCACGGUUUCCACCCCUCCCUCCAUACCGCAGUAGCACGAGUUUUUUUCACCCCUUUCAGAACGCGCUCUUCGCGCCACAAAGCCGCACCAAGACACACGAGCAAUGAGCAUCGAGCUUAAACAUAUCGCAAACGUCAAAAAUAAUAUAAGGGAUUAAUAUAUAUCGCGCACAUGCGAUUUGUUUGUCACAAGGCGCAAAAAAUAAUUAAAAAGAGAAUACAACACGAGGACUUCCCAAGAGGUCACCCAUCCUAGUACUACUCUCGCCCAAGCACGCUUAACUUCGGAGUUCUGAUGGGAUUCGGUGCCUUAGUGCUGGUAUGAUCGCAUCCAAAAUGUUUCCCCGUCUUCGUCCCUUAUGCUUGCCACUCCCAGGUCCGAUCCAAAGACGAUUCUACAUUCUCACUACCAUUACAACCGUUCCCUAACAAUGGAUAAUGUCCUAUACUACUUACUCUCCCGCUCAAUCACGGAGACGAGUUUUCCACGGUUUCCACCCCUCCUUCCAUAGCGCCACAAAGCCGCCCCAAGACGCGCGACCAAUGAGCAUCGAGCUUAAACAUAUCGCAAACGUCAAAAAUAAUAUAACGGGAUUAAUAUAUAUCGCGUACGUGCGAUAUGUUUGUCACAAGGCGCAAAAAAUAAUUAAAAAGGGAAUGCAACACGAGGACUUCCCAGGAGGUCACCCAUCCUAGUACAUAGUCUCGCCCAAGCACGCUUAACCCAAGCACGCUUAACUUCGGAGUUCUGAUGGGAUCCGGUGCUUUAGUGCUGGUAUGAUCGCAUCCAACAUGUUUCCCUGUCUUCGUCCCUUAUGCUUGCCACUCCCAGGUCCGCUCCAAAGACGAUUCUACAUUCUCACUACCAUUACAACCGUUCCCUAACAAUGGAUAAUGUCCUAUACUACUUACUCUCCCGCACAAUCACAGAGACGAGUUUUCCACGGUUUCCACCCCUCCCUCCAUACUGCAGCAACACGAGUUUUUUCCACCCCUUUCAGAAUGCGCUCCUCGCGCCACAAAGUCGCCCCAAGACGCGCGAGCAAUGAGCAUCGAGCUCAAACAUAUUGCAAACGUCAAAAAUAAUAUAACAAGAUUAAUAUAUAUCGCGCACGUGCGAUAUGUUUGUCAUAAGGCGCAAAAAAUAAUUAAAAAGGGAAUGCAACACGAGGACUUCCUAGGAGGUCACCCAUCCUAGUACUACUCUCGCCCAAGCACGCUUAACUUCGGAGUUCUAAUGGGAUCCGGUGCUUUAGUGCUGGUAUGAUCGCAUCCGACAUGUUUCCCCGUCUUCGUCCCUUAUGCUUGCCACUCCCAGGUCCGCUCCAAAGACAAUUCUACAUUCUCACUACCAUUACAACCGUUCCCUAACAAUGGAUAAUGUCCUAUACUACUUACUCUCCCGCUCAAUCACGGAGACGAGUUUUCCACGGUUUCCACCCCUCCCUCCAUACCGCAGUAGCACGAGUUUUUUCCACCCCUUUCAGAACGCGCUCUUCGCGCCACAAAGCCGCCCCAAGACACGCGAGCAAUGAGCAUCGAGCUUAAACAUAUCGCAAACGUCAAAAAUAAUAUAACGGGAUUAAUAUAUAUCGCGCACAUGCGAUAUGUUUGUCACAAGGCGCAAAAAAUAAUUAAAAAGGGAAUGCAACACGAGGACUUCCCAGGAGGUCACCCAUCCUAGUACUACUCUCGCCCAUGCACGCUUAACUUCGGAGUUCUGAUGGGAUCCGGUGCUUUAGUGCUGGUAUGAUCGCAUCCGACAUGUUUCCCCGUCUUCGUCCCUUAUGCUUGCCACUCCCAGGUCCGAUCCAAAGAUGAUUCUACAUUCUCACUACCAUUACAACCGUUCCCUAACAAUGGAUAAUGUCCUAUACUACUUACUCUCCCGCUCAAUCACGGAGAUGAGUUUUCCACGGUUUCCACCCCUCCCUCCAUACCGCAGCAGCACGAGUUUUUUCCACCCCUUUCAGAACGCGCUCUUCGCGCCACAAAGCCGCCCCAAGACGCGCGAGCAAUGAGCAUCGAGCUUAAACAUAUCGCAAACGUCAAAAAUAAUAUAACGGGAUUAAUAUAUAUCGCGCACGUGCGAUAUGUUUGUCACAAGGCGCAAAAAAUAAUUAAAAAGGGAAUGCAACACGAGGACUUCCCAGGAGGUCACCCAUCAGUACUCUCGCCCAAGCACGCUUAACUUCGGAGUUCUGAUGGGAUCCGGUGCUUUAGUGCUGGUAUGAUCGCAUCCGACAUGUUUCCCCGUCUUCGUCCCUUAUGCUUGCCACUCCCAGGUCCACUCCAAAGACGAUUCUACAUUCUCACUACCAUUACAACCGUUCCCUAACAAUGGAUAAUGUCCUAUACUACUUACUCUCCCGCUCAAUCACGGAGACGAGUUUUCCACGGUUUCCACCCCUCCUUCCAUAGCACCACAAAGCCGCCCCAAGACGCGCGACCAAUGAGCAUCGAGCUUAAACAUAUCGCAAACGUCAAAAAUAAUAUAACGGGAUUAAUAUAUAUCGCGUACGUGUGAUAUGUUUGUCACAAGGCGCAAAAAAUAAUUAAAAAGGGAAUGCAACACGAGGACUUCCCAGGAGGGCACCCAUCCUAGUACUACUCUCGCCCAAGCACGCUUAACCCAAGCACGCUUAACUUCGGAGUUCUGAUGGGAUCCGGUGCUUUAGUGCUGGUAUGAUCGCAUCCAACAUGUUUCCCCGUCUUCGUCCCUUAUGCUUGCCACUCCCAGGUCCGCUCCAAAGACGAUUCUACAUUCUCACUACCAUUACAACCGUUCCCUAACAAUGGAUAAUGUCCUAUACUACUUACUCUCCCGCACAAUCACAGAGACGAGUUUUCCACGGUUUCCACCCCUCCCUCCAUACCGCCGCAGCACGAGUUUUUUCCACCCCUUUCAGAAUGCGCUCUUCGCGCCACAAAUUCGCCCCAAGACGCGCGAGCAAUGAGCAUCGAGCUUAAACAUAUCGCAAACGUCAAAAAUAAUAUAACAAGAUUAAUAUAUAUCGCGCACGUGCGAUAUGUUUGUCAUAAGGCGCAAAAAAUAAUUAAAAAGGGAAUGCAACACGAGGACUUCCCAGGAGGUCACCCAUCCUAGUACUACUCGCGCCCAAGCACGCUUAACUUCGGAGUUCUAAUGGGAUCCGGUGCUUUAGUGCUGGUAUGAUCGCAUCCAACAUGUUUCCCCGUCUUCGUCCCUUAUGCUUGCCACUCCCAGGUCCGCUCCAAAGACAAUUCUACAUUCUCACUACCAUUACAACCGUUCCCUAACAAUGGAUAAUGUCCUAUACUACUUACUCUCCCGCUCAAUCACGGAGACGUGUUUUCCACGGUUUCCACCCCUCCCUCCAUCCCGCAGUAGCACGAGUUUUUUUCACCCCUUUCAGAACGCGCUCUUCGCGCCACAAAGCCGCCCCAAGACACGCGAGCAAUGAGCAUCGAGCUUAAACAUAUCGCAAACGUCAAAAAUAAUAUAAUGGGAUUAAUAUAUAUCGCGCACAUGCGAUAUGUUUGUCACAAGGCGCAAAAAAUAAUUAAAAAGGGAAUACAACACGAGGACUUCCCAGGAGGUCACCCAUCCUAGUACUACUCUCGCCCAAGCACGCUUAACUUCGGAGUUCUGAUGGGAUCCGGUGCUUUAGUGCUGGUAUGAUCGCAUCCAACAUGUUUCCCCGUCUUCGUCCCUUAUGCUUGCCACUCCCAGGUCCGAUCCAAAGACGAUUCUACAUUCUCACUACCAUUACAACCAUUCCCUAACAAUGGAUAAUGUCCUAUACUACUUACUCUCCCGCUCAAUCACGGAGACGAGUUUUCCACGGUUUCCACCCCUCCUUCCAUAGCGCCACAAAGCCGCCCCAAGACGCGCGACCAAUGAGCAUCGAGCUUAAACAUAUCGCAAACGUCAAAAAUAAUAUAACGGGAUUAAUAUAUAUCGCGUACGUGCGAUAUGUUUGUCACAUGGCGCAAAAAAUAAUUAAAAAGGGAAUGCAACACGAGGACUUCCCAGGAGGUCACCCAUCGUAGUACUACUCUCGCCCAAGCACGCUUAACCCAAGCACGCUUAACUUCGGAGUUCUGAUGGGAUCCGGUGCUUUAGUGCUGGUAUGAUCGCAUCCAACAUGUUUCCCCGUCUUCGUCCCUUAUGCUUGCCACUCCCAGGUCCGCUCCAAAGACGAUUCUACAUUCUCACUACCAUUACAACUGUUCCCUAACAAUGGAUAAUGUCCUAUACUACUUAAUCUCCCGCACAAUCACAGAGACGAGUUUUCCACGGUUUCCACCCCUCCCUCCAUAUCGCAGCAGCACGAGUUUUUUCCACCCCUUUCAGAAUGCGCUCUUCGCGCCACAAAGUCGCCCCAAGACGCGCGAGCAAUGAGCAUCGAGCUUAAACAUAUCGCAAACAUCAAAAAUAAUAUAACAAGAUUAAUAUAUAUCGCGCACGUGCGAUAUGUUUGUCAUAAGGCGCAAAAAAUAAUUAAAAAGGGAAUGCAACACGAGGACUUCCCAGGAGGUCACCCAUCCUAGUACUACUCUCGCCCAAGCACGCUUAACUUCGGAGUUUUGAUGGGAUCCGGUGCUUUAGUGCUAGUAUGAUCGCAUCCGACAUGUUUCCCCGUCUUCGUCCCUUAUGCUUGCCACUCCCAGGUCCGCUCCAAAGACAAUUAUACAUUCUCACUACCAUUACAACCGUUCCCUAACAAUGGAUAAUGUCCUAUACUACUUACUCUCCCGCUCAAUCACGGAGAUGAGUUUUCCACGGUUUCCACCCCUCCCACCAUACCGCAGUAGCACGAGUUUUUUCCACCCCUUUCAGAACGCGCUCUUUGCGCCACAAAGCCGCCCCAAGACACGCGAGCAAUGAGCAUCGAGCUUAAACAUAUCGCAAACGUCAAAAAUAAUAUAACGGGAUUAAUAUAUAUCGCGCACAUGCGAUAUGUUUGUCACUAGGCGCAAAAAAUAAUUAAAAAGGGAAUGCAACACGAGGACUUCCUAGGAGGUCACCCAUCCUAGUAUUACUCUCGCCCAAGCACGCUUAACUUCGAAGUUCUGAUGGGAUCCGGUGCUUUAGUGCUGGUAUGAUCGCAUCCGACAUGUUUCCCCGUCUUCGUCCCUUAUGCUUGCCACUCCCAGGUCCGAUCCAAAGACGAUUCUACAUUUUCACUACCAUUACAACCGUUCCCUAACAAUGGAUAAUGUCCUAUACUACUUACUCUCCCGCUCAAUCACGGAGAUGAGUUUUCCACGGUUUCCACCCCUCCCUCCAUACCGCAGCAACACGAGUUUUUUCCACCCCUUUCAGAACGCGCUCUUCGCGCCACAAAGCCGCCCCAAGACGCGCGAGCAAUGAGCAUCGAGCUUAAACAUAUCGCAAACGUCAAAAAUAAUAUAACGGGAUUAAUAUAUAUCGCGCACGUGCGAUAUGCUUGUCACAAGGCGCAAAAAAUAAUUAAAAAGGGAAUGCAACACGAGGACUUCCCAGGAGGUCACCCAUCCUAGUACUACGCUCGCCCAAGCACGCUUAACUUCGAAGUUCUGAUGGGAUCCGGUGCUUUAGUGCUGGUAUGAUCGCAUCCGACAUGUUUCCCCGUCUCCGUCCCUUAUGCUUGCCACUCCCAGGUCCGCUCCAAAGACGAUUCUACAUUCUCACUACUAUUACAACCGUUCCCUAACAAUGGAUAAUGUCCUAAACUACUUACUCUCCCGCUCAAUCACGGAGACGAGUUUUCCACGGUUUCCACCCCUCCCUUCAUACCGCAGCAGCACGAGUUUUUUCCACCCCUUUCAGAACGCGCUCUUCGCGCCACAAAGCCGCCCCAAGACGCGCGAGCAAUGAGCAUAGAGCUUAAACAUAUCGCAAACGUCAAAAAUAAUAUAACGGGAUUAAUAUAUAUCGCGCACGUGUGAUAUGUUUGUCACAAGGCGCAAAAAAUAAUUAAAAAGGGAAUGCAACAGGAGGACUUCCCAGGAGGUCACCCAUCCUAGUACUACUCUUGCCCAAGCACGCUUAACUUCAAAGUUCUGAUGGGAUCCGGUGCUUUAGUGCUGGUAUGAUCGCAUCCGACAUGUUUCCCCGUCUUCGUCCCUUGUGCUUGCCACUCCCAGGUCCGCUCCAAAGACGAUUCUACAUUCUCACUACCAUUACAACCGUUCCCUAACAAUGGAUAAUGUCCUAUACUACUUACUCUCCCGCUCAAUCACGGAGACGAGUUUUCCACGGUUUCCACCCCUCCCUCCAUACCACAGCAACACGAGUUUUUUUCCACCCCUUUCAGAAUGCGCUCUUCGCACCACAAAGCCGCCCCAAGACGCGCGAGCAAUGAGCAUUGAGCUUAAACAUAUCGCAAACGUAGAAAAUAAUAUAACGGGAUUAAUAUAUAUCGUGCACGUGCGAUAUGUUUGUCACAAGGCGCAAAAAAUAAUUAAAAAGGGAAUGCAACACGAGGAAUUCCCAGGAGGUCACCCAUCCUAGUACUACUCUCGCCCAAGCACGCUUAACUUCGGAGUUCUGAUGGGAUCCGGUGCUUUAGUGCUGGUAUGAUCGCAUCCGACAUGUUUCCCCGUCUUCGUCCCUUAUGCUUGCCACUCCCAGGUCCGCUCCAAAGACGAUUCUACAUUGUCACUACCAUUACAACCGUUCCCUAAUAAUGGAUAAUGUCCUAUACUACUUACUCUCCCGCUCAAUCACGGAGACGAGUUUUCCACAGUUUCCACCCCUCCUUCCAUAGCGCCACAAAGCCGCCCCAAGACGCGCGACCAAUGAGCAUCGAGCUUAAACAUAUCGCAAACGUCAAAAAUAAUAUAACGGGAUUAAUAUAUAUCGCGCACGUGCGAUAUGUUUGUCACAAGGCGCAAAAAAUAAUUAAAAAGGGAAUGCAACACGAGGACUUCCCAGGAGGUCACCCAUCCUAGUACUACUCUCGCCCAAGCACGAUUAACCCAAGCACGCUUAACUUCGGAGUUCUGAUGGAAUCCGGUGCUUUAGUGAUGGUAUGAUCGCAUCCAACAUGUUUCCCCGUCUUCGUCCCUUAUGCUUGCCAUUCCCAGGUCCGCUCCAAAGACGAUUUUACAUUCUCACCGCCAUUACAACCGUUCCCUAACAAUGGAUAAUGUCCUAUACUACUUACUCUCCCGCUCAAUCACGGAGACGAGUUUUCCACGGUUUCCACCCCUCCCUCCAUACCGCAGCAGCACGAGUUUUUUCCACCCCUUCCAGAACGCGCUCUUCGCGCCACAAAGUCGCCCCAAGACGCGCGAGCAAUGAGCAUCGAGCUUAAACAUAUCGCAAACGUCAAAAAUAAUAUAACAGGAUUAAUAUAUAUCGCGCACGUGCGAUAUGUUUGUCACAAGGCGCAAAAAAUAAUUAAAAAGGGAAUGCAACACGAGGACUUCCCAGGAAGUCACCCAUCCUAGUACUACUCUCGCCCAAGCACACUUAACUUUAGAGUUCUGAUGGGAUCCGGUGCUUUAGUGCUGGUAUGAUCGCAUCCAACAUGUUUCCAUGUCUUCGUCCCUUAUGCUUGCCACUCCCAGGUCCGAUCCAAAGACGAUUCUACAUUCUCACUACCAUUACAACCGUUCCCUAACAAUGGAUAAUGUCCUAUACUACUUACUCUCCCGCUCAAUCACGGAGACGAGUUUUCCACGGUUUCCACCCCUCCCUCCAUACCGCAGCAGCACGAGUUUUUUCCACCCCUUUCAGAAUGCGCUCUUUGCGCCACAAAGCCGCCCCAAGACGCGCGAGCAAUGAGCAUCGAGCUUAAACAUAUCGCAAACGUCAAACAUAAUAUAACGGGAUUAAUAUAUAUCGCGCACGUGCGAUAUGUUUGUCACAAGGCACAAAAAAUAAUUAAAAAGGGAAUGCAACACGAGGACUUCCCAGGAGGUCACCCAUCCUAGUACUACUCUCGCCCAAGCACGCUUAACUUCGAAGUUCUGAUGGGAUCCGGUGCUUUAGUGCUAGUAUGAUCGCAUCCAACAUGUUUCCCCGUCUUCGUCCCUUAUGCUUGCCACUCCCAGGUCCGCUCCAAAGACGAUUCUACAUUCUCACUACCAUUACAACCGUUCCCUAACAAUGGAUAAUGUCCUAUACUACUUACUCUCCCACUCAAUCACGGAGACGAGUUUUCCACGGUUUCCAUCCCUCCCUCCAUACCGCAGCAGCACGAGUUUUUUCCACCCCUUUCAGAACGCGCUCUUCGCGCCACAAAACCGCCCCAAGACGCGCGAGCAAUGAGCAUCGAGCUUAAACAUAUCGCAAACGUCAAAAAUAAUAUAACGGGGUUAAUAUAUAUCGCGCACAUGUGAUAUGUUUGCCACAAGGCGCAAAAAAUAAUUAAAAAGGGAAUGCAACACGAGGACUUCCCAGGAGGUCACCCAUCCUAGUACUACUCUCGCCCAAGCACGCUUAACUUCGGAGUUCUGAUAGGAUCUGGUGCUUUAGUGCUGGUAUGAUAGCAUCCGACAUGUUUCCCCAUCUUCGUCCCUUAUGCUUGCCACUCCCAGGUCCGCUCCAAAGACGAUUCUACAUUCUCACUACCAUUACAACCGUUUCCUAAUAAUGGAUAAUGUCCUAUACUACUUACUCUCCCGCUCAAUCACGGAGACGAGUUUUCCACGAUUUCCACCCCUCCCUCCAUACCGCAGCAGCAUGAGUUUUUUCCACCCCUUUCAGAACGCGCUCUUCGCGCCACAAAGCCGCCCCAAGACGCGCGAGCAAUGAGCAUCGAGCUUAAACAUAUCGCAAACGUCAAAAAUAAUAUAACGGGAUUAAUAUAUAUCGCGCACGUGCGAUAUGUUUGUCACAAGGCGCAAAAAAUAAAUAAAAAGGGAAUGCAAUCGAGGACUUCCCAGGAGGUCAUCCAUCCUAGUACUACUCUCGCCCAAGCACGCUUAACUUCGGAGUUCUGAUGGGAUCCGGUGCUUUAGUGCUGGUAUGAUCGCAUCAACAUGUUCCCCCGUCUUCGUCCCUUAUGCUUGCCACUCCCAGGUCCGCUCCAAAGACGAUUCUACAUUCUCACUACCAUUACAACCGUUCCCUAACAAUGGAUAAUGUCCUAUACUACUUACUCUCUCGCUCAAUCACGGAGACGAGUUUUCCACGGUUUCCACCCCUCCCUCCAUACCGCAGCAGCACGAGUUUUUUCCACCCCUUUCAGAACGCGCUCUUCGCGCCACAAAGCCGCCCCAAGACGCGCGAGCAAUGAGCAUCGAGCUUAAACAUAUCGCAAAUGUCAAAAAUAAUAUAACGGGAUUAAUAUAUAUCGCGCACGUGCGAUAUGUUUGUCACAAGGCGCAAAAAAUAAUUAAAAAGGGAAUGCAACACGAGGACUUCCCAGGAGGUCACCCAUCCUAGUACUACACUCGCCCAAGCAUGCUUAACUUCGAAGUUCUGAUGGGAUCCGGUGCUUUAGUGCUGGUAUGAUCGCAUCCGACAUGUUUCCCCGUCUUCGUCCCUUAUGCUUGCCACUCCCAGGUCCGCUCCAAAGACGAUUCUACAUUCUCACUACCAUUACAACCGUUCCCUAACAAUGGAUAAUGUCCUAUAAUACUUACUCUCCCGCUCAAUCACAGAGACGAGUUUUCCACGGUUUCCACCCCUCCCUCCAUACCGCAGCAGCACGAGUUUUUUCCACCCCUUUCAGAACGCGCUCUUCGCGCCACAAAGCCGCCCCAAGACGCGCGAGCAAUGAGCAUCGAGCUUAAACAUAUCGCAAACGUCAAAAAUAAUAUAACGGGAUUAAUAUAUAUCGCGCACAUGCGAUAUGUUUGUCACAAGGCGCAAAAAAUAAUUAAAAAGGGAAUGCAACAUGAGGACUUCCCAGGAGGUCACCCAUCCUAGUACUACUCUCGCCCAAGCACGCUUAACUUCGAAGUUCUAAUGGGAUCCGGUGCUUUAGUGCUGGUAUGAUCGCAUCCGACAUGUUUCCCCGUCUUCGUCCCUUAUGCUUGCCACUCCCAGGUCCGCUCCAAAGACGAUUCUACAUUCUCACUACCAUUACAACCGUUCCCUAACAAUGGAUAAUGUCCUAUGCUACUUACUCUCCCGCUCAAUCACGGAGACGAGUUUUCCACGAUUUCGACCCCUCCCUCCAUACCGCAGCAACACGAGUUUUUUCCACCCCUUUCAGAACGCGCUCUUCGCGCCACAAAGCCACCCCAAGACGCGCGAGCAAUGAGCAUCGAGCUUAAACAUAUCGCAAACGUCAAAAAUAAUAUAACGGGAUUAAUAUAUAUCGCGCACGUGCGAUAUGUUUGUCACAAGGCGCAAAAAAUAAUUAAAAAGGGAAUGCAACACGAGGACUUCCCAGGAGGUCACCCAUCCUAGUACUACUCUCGCCCAAGCACGCUUAACUUCGGAGUUCUGAUGGGAUCCGGUGCUUUAGUGCUGGUAUGAUCGCAUCAACAUGUUCCCCCGUCUUCGUCCCUUAUGGUUGCCACUCCCAGGUCCGCUCCAAAGACGAUUCUACAUUCUACUACCAUUACAACCGUUCCCUAACAAUGGAUAAUGUCCUAUACUACUUACUCUCCCGCUCAAUCACGGAGACGAGUUUUCCACGGUUCCCACCCCUCCCUCCAUACCGCAGCAACACGAGUUUUUUCCACCCCUUUCAGAACGCGCUCUUCGCACCACAAAGCCGCCCCAAGACGCGCGAGCAAUGAGCAUCGAGCUUAAACAUAUCGCAAACGUCAAAAAUAAUAUAACGGGGUUAAUAUAUAUCGCGCACAUGCGAUAUGUUUGUCAAAAGGCGCAAAAAAUAAUUAAAAAGGGAAUGCAACAUGAGGACUUCCCAGGAGGUCACCCAUCCUAGUACUACUCUUGCCCAAGCACGCUUAACUUCAGAGUUCUGAUGGGAUUCGGUGCUUUAGUGCUGGUAUGAUCGCAUCCGACAUGUUUCCCCGUCUUCGUCCCUUAUGCUUGCCACUCCCAGGUCCGCUCCAAAGACGAUUCUACAUUCUCACUACCAUUACAACCGUUUCCUAAUAAUGGAUAAUGUCCUAUACUACUUACUCUCCCGCUCAAUCACGGAGACGAGUUUUCCACAAUUUCCACCCCUCCCUCCAUACCGCAGCAGCACGAGUUUUUUCCACCCCUUUCAGAACGCGCUCUUCGCGCCACAAAGCCGCCCCAAGACGCGCGAGCAAUGAGCAUCGAGCUUAAACAUAUCGCAAACGUCAAAAAUAAUAUAACGGGAUUAAUAUAUAUCGCGCACGUGCGAUAUGUUUGUCACAAGGCGCAAAAAAUAAUUAAAAAGGGAAUGCAACUCGAGGACUUCCCAGGAGGUCACCCAUCCUAGUACUACUCUCGCCCAAGCACGCUUAACUUCGGAGUUCUGAUGGGAUCCGGUGCUUUAGUGCUGGUAUGAUCGCAUCAACAUGUUUCCCCGUCUUCGUUCCUUAUGCUUGCCACUCCCAGGUCCGCUCCAAAGACGAUUCUACAUUCUCACUACCAUUACAACCGUUCCCUAACAAUGGAUAAUGUCCUAUACUACUUACUCUCCCGCUCAAUCAUGGAGACGAGUUUUCCACGGUUUCCACCCCUCCCUCCAUACCGCAGCAGCACGAGUUUUUUCCACCCCUUUCAGAACGCGCUCUUCGCACCACAAAGCCGCCCCAAGAUGCGUGAGCAAUGAGCAUCGAGCUUAAACAUAUCGCAAACGUCAAAAAUAAUAUAACAGGAUUAAUAUAUAUCGCGCACGUGCGAUAUGUUUGUCACAAGGCGCAAAAAAUAAUUAAAAAGGGAAUGCAACACGAGGACUUCCCAGGAGGUCACCCAUCCUAAUACUACACUCGCCCAAGCACGCUUAACUUCAAAAUUCUGAUGGGAUCCGGUGCUUUAGUGCUGGUAUGAUCGCAUCCGACAUGUUUCCCCGUCUUCGUCCCUUAUGCUUGCCAUUCCCAGGUCCGCUCCAAAGACGAUUCUACAUUCUCACUACCAUUACAACCGUUCCCUAACAAUGGAUAAUGUCCUAUACUACUUACUCUCCCGCUCAAUCACGGAGACGAGUUUUCCACGGUUUCCACCCCUCCCUCCAUACCGCAGCAGCACGAGUUUUUUCCACCCCUUUCAGAACGCGCUCUUCGCACCACAAAGCCGCCCCAAGAUGCGCGAGCAAUGAGCAUCGAGCUUAAACAUAUCGCAAACGUCAAAAAUAAUAUAACAGGAUUAAUAUAUAUCGCGCACGUGCGAUAUGUUUGUCACAAGGCGCAAAAAAUAAUUGAAAAGGGAAUGCAACACGAGGACUUCCCAGGAGGUCACCCAUCCUAGUACUACUCUCGCCCAAGCAUGCUUAACUUCGUAGUUCUGAUGGGAUCCAGUGCUUUAGUGCUAGUAUGAUUGCAUCCGACAUGUUUCCCCGUCUUCGUCCCUUAUGCUUGCCACUCCCAGGUCCGCUCCAAAGACAAUUCUACAUUCUCACUACCAUUACAACCGUUCCCUAACAAUUGAUAAUGUCCUAUACUACUUACUCUCCCGCUCAAUCACGGAGACGAGUUUUCCACGGUUUCCACCCCUCCCUCCAUACCGCAGCAGCACGAGUUUUUUCCACCCCUUUCAGAACGCGCUCUUCGCGCCACAAAGCCGCCCCAAGACGCGCGAGCAAUGAGUAUCGAGCUUAAACAUAUCGCAAACGUCAAAAAUAAUAUAACGGGAUUAAUAUAUAUCGCGCACGUGCGAUAUGUUUGUCACAAGGCGCAAAAAAUAAUUAAAAAGGGAAUGCAACACGAAGACUUCCCAGGAGGUCACCCAUCCUAGUACUACUCUCGCCCAAGCACGCUUAACUUCAGAGUUCUGAUGGGAUCCGGUGCUUUAGUGCUGCUAUGAUCGCAUCCAACAUGUUUCCCUGUCUUCGUCCCUUAUGCUUGCCACUCCCAGGUCCGCUCCAAAGACGAUUCUACAUUCUCACUACCAUUACAACCGUUCCCUAACAAUGGAUAAUGUCCUAUACUACUUACUCUCCCGCUCAAUCACGGAGACGAGUUUUCCACGGUUUCCACCCCUCCCUCCAUACCGCAGCAGCACAAGUUUUUCCCACCUCUUUCAGAAUGCGCUCUUCGCGCCACAAAGCCGCCGCAAGACGCGCGAGCAAUGAGCAUCGAGCUUAAACAUAUCGCAAACGUCAAACAUAAUAUAAUGGGAUUAAUAUAUAUCGCGCACGUGCGAUAUGUUUGUCACAAGGCACAAAAAAUAAUUAAAAAGGGAAUGCAACACGAGGACUUCCCAGGAGGUCACCCAUCCUAGUACUACUCUUGCCCAAGCACGCUUAACUUCGAAGUUCUUCGAAGUUCUGAUGGGAUCCGAUGCUUUAGUGCUAGUAUGAUCGCAUCCAACAUGUUUCCCCGUCUUCGUCCCUUAUGCUUGCCACUCCCAGGUCUGCUCCAAAGACGAUUCUACAUUCUCACUACCAUUACAACCGUUCCCUAACAAUGGAUAAUGUCCUAUACUACUUACUCUCCCGCUCAAUCACGGAGACGAGUUUUCCACGGUUUCCACCCCUCCCUCCAUACCGCAGCAGCACGAGUUUUUUCCACCCCUUUCAGAACGCGCUCUUCGCGCCACAAAGCCGCCCCAAGACGCGCGAGCAAUGAGCAUCGAGCUUAAACAUAUCGCAAACGUCAAAAAUAAUAUAACGGGGUUAAUAUAUAUCGCGCACAUGUGAUAUGUUUGUCACAAGGCGCAAAAAAUAAUUAAAAAGGGAAUGCAACACGAGGACUUCCCAGGAGGUCACCCAUCCUAGUACUACUCUCGCCCAAGCACGCUUAACUUCGGAGUUCUGAUGGGAUCCGGUGCUUUAGUGCUGGUAUGAUCGCAUCCGACAUGUUUCCCCGUCUUCGUCCCUUAUGCUUGCCACUCCCAGGUCCGCUCCAAAGACGAUUCUACAUUCUCACUACCGUUACAACCGUUUCCUAAUAAUGGAUAAUGUCCUAUACUACUUACUCUCCCGCUCAAUCACGGAGAUGAGUUUUCCACGAUUUCCACCCCUCCCUCUAUACCGCAGCAGCACGAGUUUUUUCCACCCCUUUCAGAACGCGCUCUUCGCGCCACAAAGCCGCCCCAAGACGCGCGAGCAAUGAGCAUCGAGCUUAAACAUAUCGCAAACGUCAAAAAUAAUAUAACGGGAUUAAUAUAUAUCGCGCACCUACGAUAUGUUUGUCACAAGGCGCAAAAAAUAAUUAAAAGGGGAAUGCAACACGAGGAUCUGAUGGGAUCCGGUGCUUUAGUGCUGGUAUGAUCGCAUCCGACAUGUUUCCCCGUCUUCGUCCCUUAUGCUUGCCACUCCCAGGUCCACUCCAAAGAUGAUUCUACAUUCUCACUACCAUUACAACCGUUCCCUAAGAAUGGAUAAUGUCCUAUACUACUUACUCUCCCGCUCAAUCACGGAGAGGAGUUUUCCACGGUUUCCACCCCUCCCUCCAUACCGCAGCAGCACGAGUUUUUUCCACCCCUUUCAGAACGCGCUCUUCGCGCCACAAAGCCGCCCCAAGACGCGCGAGCAAUGAGCAUCGAGCUUAAACAUAUCGCAAACGUCAAAAAUAAUAUAACGGGGUUAAUAUAUAUCGCGCACGUGCGAUAUGUUUGUCACAAGGCACAAAAAAUAAUUAAAAAGGGAAUGCAACACGAGGACUUCCCAGGAGGUCACCCAUCCUAGUACUACUCUCGCCCAAGCACGCUUAACUUCAGAGUUCUGAUGGGAUCCGGUGCUUUAGUGCUGGUAUGAUCGCAUCCAACAUGUUUCCCUGUCUUCGUCCCUUAUGCUUGCCACUCCCAGGUCCGCUCCAAAGACGAUUCUACAUUCUCACUACCAUUACAACCGUUCCCUAACAAUGGAUAAUGUCCUAUACUACUUACUCUCCCGCUCAAUCACGGAGACGAGUUUUCCACGGUUUCCACCCCUCCCUCCAUACCGCAGCAGCACAAGUUUUUUCCACCCCUUUCAGAAGGCGCUCUUCGCGCCACAAAGCCGCCCCAAGACGCGCGAGCAAUGAGCAUCGAGCUUAAACAUAUCGCAAACGUCAAACAUAAUAUAACGGGAUUAAUAUAUAUCGCGCACGUGCGAUAUGUUUGUCACAAGGCACAAAAAAUAAUUAAAAAGGGAAUGCAACACGAGGACUUCCCAGGAGGUCACCCAUCCUAGUACUACUCUCGCCCAAGCACGCUUAACUUCGAAGUUCUGAUGGGAUCCGGUGCUUUAGUGCUAGUAUGAUCGCAUCCAACAUGUCUCCCCGUCUUCGUCCCUUAUGCUUGCCACUCCCAGGUCCGCUCCAAAGACGAUUCUACAUUCUCACUACCAUUACAACCGUUCCCUAACAAUGGAUAAUGUCCUAUACUACUUACUCUCCCGCUCAAUCACGGAGACGAGUUUUCCACGGUUUCCAUCCCUCCCUCCAUACCGCAGCAGCACGAGUUUUUUCCACCCCUUUCAGAACGCGCUCUUCGCGCCACAAAACCGCCCCAAGACGCGCGAGCAAUGAGCAUCGAGCUUAAACAUAUCGCAAACGUCAAAAAUAAUAUAACGGGGUUAAUAUAUAUCGCGCACAUGUGAUAUGUUUGUCACAAGGCGCAAAAAAUAAUUAAAAAGGGAAUGCAACACGAGGACUUCCCAGGAGGUCACCCAUCCUAGUACUACUCUCGCCCAAGCACACUUAACUUCGGAGUUCUGAUAGGAUCCGGUGCUUUAGUGCUGGUAUGAUAGCAUCCGACAUGUUUCCCCAUCUUCGUCCCAUAUGCUUGCCACUCCUAGGUCCGCUCCAAAGACGAUUCUACAUUCUCACUACCAUUACAACCGUUUCCUAAUAAUGGAUAAUUUCCUAUACUACUUACUCUCCCGCUCAAUCACGGAGACGAGUUUUCCACGAUUUCCACCCCUCCCUCCAUACCGCAGCAGCAUGAGUUUUUUCCACCCCUUUCAGAACGCGCUCUUCGCGCCACAAAGCCGCCCCAAGACGCACGAGCAAUGAGCAUCGAGCUUAAACAUAUCGCAAACGUCAAAAAUAAUAUAACAGGAUUAAUAUAUAUCGCGCACGUGCGAUAUGUUUGUCACAAGGCGCAAAAAAUAAAUAAAAAGGGAAUGCAACUCGAGGACUUCCCAGGAGGUCACCCAUCCUAGUACUACUCUCGCCCAAGCACGCUUAACUUCGGAGUUCUCAUGGGAUCCGGUGCUUUAGUGCUGGUAUGAUCGCAUCAACAUGUUUCCCCGUCUUCGUCCCUUAUGCUUGCCACUCCCAGGUCCGCUCCAAAGACGAUUCUACAUUCUCACUACCAUUACAACCGUUCCCUAACAAUGGAUAAUGUCCUAUACUACUUACUCUCCCGCUCAAUCACGGAGACGAGUUUUCCACGGUUUCCACCCCUCCCUCCAUACCGCAGCAGCACGAGUUUUUUCCACCCCUUUCAGAACGCGCUCUUCGCGCCACAAAGCCGCCCCAAGACGCGCGAGCAAUGAGCAUCGAGCUUAAACAUAUCGCAAACGUCAAAAAUAAUAUAACGGGAUUAAUAUAUAUCGCGCACGUGCGAUAUGUUUGUCACAAGGCGCAAAAAAUAAUUAAAAAGGGAAUGCAACACGAGGACUUCCCAGGAGGUCACCCAUCCUAGUACUACACUCGCCCAAGCAUGCUUAACUUCGAAGUUCUGAUGGGAUCCGGUGCUUUAGUGCUGGUAUGAUCGCAUCCGACAUGUUUCCCCGUCUUCGUCCCUUAUGCUUGCCACUCCCAGGUCCGCUCCAAAGACGAUUCUACAUUCUCACUACCAUUACAACCGUUCCCUAACAAUGGAUAAUGUCCUAUAAUACUUACUCUCCCGCUCAAUCACAGAGACGGGUUUUCCACGGUUUCCACCCCUCCCUCCAUACCGCAGCAGCACGAGUUUUUUCCACCCCUUUCAGAACGCGCUCUUCGUGCCACAAAGCCGCCCCAAGACGCGCGAGCAAUGAGCAUCGAGCUUAAACAUAUCGCAAACGUCAAAAAUAAUAUAACGGGAUUAAUAUAUAUCGCGCACAUGCGAUAUGUUUGUCACAAGGCGCAAAAAAUAAUUAAAAAGGGAAUGCAACACGAGGACUUCCCAGGAGGUCACCCAUCCUAGUACUACUCUCGCCCAAGCACGCUUAACUUCGGAGUUCUGAUGGGAUCCGGUGCUUUAGUGCUGGUAUGAUCGCAUCAACAUGUUUCCCUGUCUUCGUCCCUUAUGCUUGCCACUCCCAGGUCCGCUCCAAAGACGAUUCUACAUUCUACUACCAUUACAACCGUUCCCUAACAAUGGAUAAUGUCCUAUACUACUUACUCUCCCGCUCAAUCACGGAGACGAGUUUUCCACGGUUUCCACCCCUCCCUCCAUACCGCAGCAACACGAGUUUUUUCCACCCCUUUCAGAACGCGCUCUUCGCACCACAAAGCCGCCCCAAGACGCGCGAGCAAUGAGCAUCGAGCUUAAACAUAUCGCAAACGUCAAAAANNNNNNNNNNNNNNNNNNNNNNNNNNNNNNNNNNNNNNNNNNNNNNNNNNNNNNNNNNNNNNNNNNNNNNNNNNNNNNNNNNNNNNNNNNNNNNNNNNNNNNNNNNNNNNNNNNNNNNNNNNNNNNNNNNNNNNNNNNNNNNNNNNNNNNNNNNNNNNNNNNNNNNNNNNNNNNNNNNNNNNNNNNNNNNNNNNNNNNNNNNNNNNNNNNNNNNNNNNNNNNNNNNNNNNNNNNNNNNNNNNNNNNNNNNNNNNNNNUUUGUCAAAAGGCGCAAAAAAUAAUUAAAAAGGGAAUGCAACACGAGGACUUACUCUCCCGCUCAAUCACAGAGACGGGUUUUCCACUGUUUCCACCCCUCCCUCCAUACCGCAGCAGCACGAGUUUUUUCCACCCCUUUCAGAACGCGCUCUUCGCGCCACAAAGCCGCCCCAAGACGCGCGAGCAAUGAGCAUCGAGCUUAAACAUAUCGCAAACGUCAAAAAUAAUAUAACGGGAUUAAUAUAUAUCGCGCACAUGCGAUAUGUUUGUCACAAGGCGCAAAAAAUAAUUAAAAAGGGAAUGCAACACGAGGACUUCCCAGGAGGUCACCCAUCCUAGUACUACUCUCGCCCAAGCACGCUUAACUUCGAAGUUCUAAUGGGAUCCGGUGCUUUAGUGCUGGUAUGAUCGCAUCCGACAUGUUUCCCCAUCUUCGUCCCUUAUGCUUGCCACUCCCAGGUCCGCUCCAAAGACGAUUCUACAUUCUCACUACCAUUACAACCGUUCCCUAACAAUGGAUAAUGUCCUAUGCUACUUACUCUCCCGCUCAAUCACGGAGACGAGUUUUCCACGAUUUCCACCCCUCCCUCCAUACCGCAGCAGCACGAGUUUUUUCCACCCCUUUCAGAACGCGCUCUUCGCGCCACAAAGCCACCCCAAGACGCGCGAGCAAUGAGCAUCGAGCUUAAACAUAUCGCAAACAUCAAAAAUAAUAUAACGGGAUUAAUAUAUAUCGCGCACGUGCGAUAUGUUUGUCACAAGGCGCAAAAAAUAAUUAAAAAGGGAAUGCAACACGAGGACUUCCCAGGAGGUCACCCAUCCUAGUACUACUCUCGCCCAAGCACGCUUAACUUCGGAGUUCUGAUGGGAUCCGGUGCUUUAGUGCUGGUAUGAUCGCAUCAACAUGUUUCCCCGUCUUCGUCCCUUAUGCUUGCCACUCCCAGGUCCGCUCCAAAGACGAUUCUACAUUCUACUACCAUUACAACCGUUCCCUAACAAUGGAUAAUGUCCUAUACUACUUACUCUCCCGCUCAAUCACGGAGACGAGUUUUCCACGGUUUCCACCCCUCCCUCCAUACCGCAGCAACACGAGUUUUUUCCACCCCUUUCAGAACGCGCUCUUCGCACCACAAAGCCGCCCCAAGACGCGCGAGCAAUGAGCAUCGAGCUUAAACAUAUCGCAAACGUCAAAAAUAAUAUAACGGGGUUAAUAUAUAUCGCGCACAUGCGAUAUGUUUGUCAAAAGGCGCAAAAAAUAAUUAAAAAGGGAAUGCAACACGAGGACUUCCCAGGAGGUCACCCAUCCUAGUACUACUCUCGCCCAAGCACGCUUAACUUCAGAGUUCCGAUGGGAUUCAGUGCUUUAGUGCUGGUAUGAUCGCAUCCGACAUGUUUCCCCGUCUUCGUCCCUUAUGCUUGCCACUCCCAGGUCCGCUCCAAAGACGAUUCUACAUUCUCACUACCAUUACAACCGUUUCCUAAUAAUGGAUAAUGUCCUAUACUACUUACUCUCCCGCUCAAUCACGGAGACGAGUUUUCCACGAUUUCCACCCCUCCCUCCAUACCGCAGCAGCACGAGUUUUUUCCACCCCUUUCAGAACGCGCUCUUCGCGCCCCAAAGCCGCCCCAAGACGCGCGAGCAAUGAGCAUCGAGCUUAAACAUAUCGCAAACGUCAAAAAUAAUAUAACGGGAUUAAUAUAUAUCGCGCACGUGCGAUAUGUUUGUCACAAGGCGCAAAAAAUAAUUAAAAAGGGAAUGCAACUCGAGGACUUCCCAGGAGGUCACCCAUCCUAGUACUACUCUCGCCCAAGCACGCUUAACUUCGGAGUUCUGAUGGGAUCCGGUGCUUUAGUGCUGGUAUGAUCGCAUCAACAUGUUUCCCCGUCUUCGUCCCUUAUGCUUGCCACUCCCAGGUCUGCUCCAAAGACGAUUCUACAUUCUCACUACCAUUACAACCGUUCCCUAACAAUGGAUAAUGUCCUAUACUACUUACUCUCCCGCUCAAUCACGGAGACGAGUUUUCCACGGUUUCCACCCCUCCCUCCAUACCGCAGCAGCACGAGUUUUUUCCACCCCUUUCAGAACGCGCUCUUCGCACCACAAAGCAGCCCCAAGAUGCGCGAACAAUGAGCAUCGAGCUUAAACAUAUCGCAAACGUCAAAAAUAAUAUAACAGGAUUAAUAUAUAUCGCGCACGUGCGAUAUGUUUGUCACAAGGCGCAAAAAAUAAUUAAAAAGGGAAUGCAACACGAGGAAUUCCCAGGAGGUCACCCAUCCUAGUACUACACUCGCCCAAGCACGCUUAACUUCGAAAUUCUGAUGGGAUCCGGUGCUUUAGUGCUGGUAUGAUCGCAUCCGACAUGUUUCCCCGUCUUCGUCCCUUAUGCUUGCCACUCCCAGGUCCGCUCCAAAGACGAUUCUACAUUCUCACUACCAUUACAACCGUUCCCUAACAAUGGAUAAUGUCCUAUACUACUUACUCUCCCGCUCAAUCACGGAGACGAGUUUUCCACGGUUUCCACCCCUCCCUCCAUACCGCAGCAGCACGAGUUUUUUCCACCCCUUUCAGAACGCGCUCUUCGCACCACAAAGCCGCCCCAAGAUGCGCGAGCAAUGAGCAUCGAGCUUAAACAUAUCGCAAACGUCAAAAAUAAUAUAACAGGAUUAAUAUAUAUCGCGCACGUGCGAUAUGUUUGUCACAAGGCGCAAAAAAUAAUUAAAAAGGGAAUGCAACACGAGGACUUCCCAGGAGGUCACCCAUCCUAGUACUACUCUCGCCCAAGCAUGCUUAACUUCGUAGUUCUGAUGGGUUCCAGUGCUUUAGUGCUAGUAUGAUUGCAUCCGACAUGUUUCCCCAUCUUCGUCCCUUAUGCUUGCCACUCCCAGGUCCGCUCCAAAGACAAUUCUACAUUCUCACUACCAUUACAACCGUUCCCUAACAAUGGAUAAUGUCCUAUACUACUAACUCUCCCGCUCAAUCACGGAGACGAGUUUUCCACGGUUUCCACCCCUCCCUCCAUACCGCAGCAGCACGAGUUUUUUCCACCCCUUUCAGAACGCGCUCUUCGCGCCACAAAGCCGCCCCAAGACGCGCGAGCAAUGAGCAUCGAGCUUAAACAUAUCGCAAACGUCAAAAAUAAUAUAACGGGAUUAAUAUAUAUCGCGCACGUGCGAUAUGUUUGUCACAAGGCGCAAAAAAUAAUUAAAAAGGGAAUGCAACACGAGGACUUCCCAGGAGGUCACCCAUCCUAGUACUACUCUCGCCCAAGCACGCUUAACUUCGAAGUUCUAAUGGGAUCCGGUGCUUUAGUGCUGGUAUGAUCGCAUCCGACAUGUUUCCCCGUCUUCGUCCCUUAUGCUUGCCACUCCCAGGUCCGCUCCAAAGACGAUUCUACAUUCUCACUACCAUUACAACCGUUCCCUAACAAUGGAUAAUGUCCUAUACUACUUACUCUCCCGCUCAAUCACGGAGACGAGUUUUCCACGGUUUCCACCCCUCCCUCCAUACCGGAGCAACACGAGUUUUUUCCACCCCUUUCAGAACGUGCUCUUCGCGCCACAAAGCCGCCCCAAGACGCGCGAGCAAUGAGCAUCGAGCUUAAACAUAUCGCAAACGUCAAAAAUAAUAUAACGGGAUUAAUAUAUAUCGCGCACGUGCGAUAUGUUUGUCACAAGGCACAAAAAAUAAUUAAAAAGGGAAUGCAACACGAGGACUUCCCAGGAGGUCACCCAUCCUAGUACUACUCUCGCCCAAGCACGCUUAACUUCGGAGUUAUGAUGGGAUCCGGUGCUUUAGUGCUGGUAUGAUUGCAUCCAACAUGUUUCCCCGUCUUCGUCCCUUAUGCUUGCCACUCCCAGGUCCGCUCCAAAGACGAUUCUACAUUCUCACUACCAUUACAACUGUUCCCUAACAAUGGAUAAUGUCCUAUACUACUUACUCUCCCGCUCAAUCACGGAGACGAGUUUUCCACGGUUUCCACCCCUCCCUCCAUACCGCAGCAACACGAGUUUUUCCACCCCUUUCAGAACGCGCUCUUCGCGCCAUAAAGCCGCCACAAGACGCACGAGCAAUGAGCAUCGAGCUUAAACAUAACGCAAACGUCAAAAAUAAUAUAACGGGAUUAAUAUAUAUCGCGCAGGCGCGAUAUGUUUGUCACAAGGCGCAAAAAAUAAUUAAAAAGGGAAUGCAACAAGAGGACUUCCAAGGAGGUCACCCAUCCUAGUACUACUCUCGCCCAAGCACGCUUAACAUCGGAGUUCUGAUGGGAUCCGGUGCUUUAGUGCUGGUAUGAUCGCAUCCGACGUGUUUCCCCGUCUUCGUCCCUUAUGCUUGCCUCUCCCAGGUCCGCUCCAAAGACGAUUCUACAUUCUCACUACCAUUACAACCGUUCCCUAACAAUGGAUAAUGUCGUAUACUACUUACUCUCCCGCUCAAUCACGGAGACGAGUUUUCCACGGUUUCCACCCCUCCCUCCAUACCGCAGCAACACGAGUUUUUCCACCCCUUUCAGAACGCGCUCUUCGCGCCACAAAGCCGCCACAAGACGCACGAGCAAUGAGCAUCGAGCUUAAACAUAACGCAAACGUCAAAAAUAAUAUAACGGGAUUAAUAUAUAUCGCGCACGCGCGAUAUGUUUGUCACAAGGCGCAAAAAAUAAUUAAAAAGGGAAUGCAACAAGAGGACUUCCAAGGAGGUCACCCAUCCUAGUACUACUCUCGCCCAAGCACGCUUAACAUCGGAGUUUUGAUGGGAUCCGGUGCUUUAGUGCUGGUAUGAUCGCAUCCGACGUGUUUCCCCGUCUUCGUCCCUUAUGCUUGCCACUCCCAGGUCCGCUCCAAAGACGAUUCUACAUUCUCACUACCAUUACAACCGUUCCCUAACAAUGGAUAAUGUCCUAUACUACUUACUCUCCCGCUCAAUCACGGAGACGAGUUUUCCACGGUUUCCACCCCUCCCUCCAUACCGCAGCAACACGAGUUUUUUCCACCCCUUUCAGAACGCGCUCUUCGUGCCACAAAGCCGCCCCAAGACGCGCGAGCAAUGAGCAUCGAGCUUAAACAUAUCGCAAACGUCAAAAAUAAUAUAACGGGAUUAAUAUAUAUCGCGCACGUGCGAUAUGUUUGUCACAAGGCGCAAAAGAUAAUUAAAAAGGGAAUGCAACACGAGGACUUCCCAGGAGGUCACCCAUCCUAGUACUACUCUCGCCCAAGCACGCUUAACUUUGGAGUUCUGAUGGGAUCCGGUGCUUUAGAGCUGGCAUGAUCGCAUCCGACGUGUUUCCCGCUCCAAAACGAUUCUACAUUCUCACUACCAUUACAACCGUUCCCUAACAAUGGAUAAUGUCCUAUACUACUUACUCUCCCGCUCAAUCACGGAGACGAGUUUUCCACGGUUUCCACCCCUCCCUCCAUACCGCAGCAACAUGAGUUUUUUCCGCCCCUUUAAGAACGCGCUCUUCGCGCCACAAAGCCGCCCCAAGACGCGCGAGCAAUGAGCAUCGAGCUUAAACAUAUCGCAAACGUCAAAAAUAAUAUAACGGGAUUAAUAUAUAUUGCGCACGUGCGAUAUGUUUGUCACACGGCGCAAAAAAUAAUUAAAAAGGGAAUGCAGCACGAGGACUUCCCAGGAGGUCACCCAUCCCAGUACUACUCUCGCCCAAGCACGCUUAACUUCGAAGUUCUAAUGGGAUCCGGUGCUUUAGUGCUGGUAUGAUCGCAUCCAACUUGUUUCCCCGUCUUCGUCCCUUAUGCUUGCCACUCCCAGGUCCGCUCCAAAGACGAUUCUACAUUAUCACUACCAUUACAACCGUUCCCUAACAAUGGAUAAUGUCCUAUACUACUUACUCUCCCGCUCAAUCACGGAGACGAGUUUUCCACGGUUUCCACCCCUCCCACCAUACCGCAGCAACAAAAGUUUUUUCCACCCCUUUCAGAACGCGCUCUUCGCGCCACAAAGCCGCCCCAAGACGCGCGAGCAAUGAGCAUCGAGCUUAAACAUAUCGCAAACGUCAAAAAUAAUAUAACGGGAUUAAUAUAUAUCGCGCACGUGCGAUAUGUUUGUCACAAGGCGCAAAAAAUAAUUAAAAAGGGAAUGCAACACGAGGACUUCCCAGGAAGUCACCCAUCCUAGUACUACUCUCGCCCAAGCACGCAUAACUUCGGAGUUCUGAUGGGAUCCGGUGCUUUAGUGCUAGUAUGAUCGCAUCCGACGUGUUUCCCCGUCUUCGUCCCUUAUGCUUGCCACUCCCAGGUCCGCUCCAAAGACGAUUCUACAUUCUCACUACCAUUAAAACCGUUCCCUAACAAUGGAUAAUGUCCUAUACUACUUACUCUCCCGCUCAAUCACGGAGACGAGUUUUCCACGGUUUCCACCCCUCCCUCCAUACAGCAGCAACACGAGUUUUUUCACCCCUUUCAGAACGCGCUCUUCGCGCCACCAAGCCGCCCCAAGACGCGCGAGCAAUGAGCAUCGAGCUUAAACAUAUCGCAAACGUCAAAAAUAAUAUAACGGGAUUAAUAUAUAUCGCGCAUGUGCGAUAUGUUUGUCACAAGGCGCAAAUAAUAAUUAAAAAGGGAAUGCAACACGAGGACUUCCCAGGAGGUCACGCAUCCUAGUACUACUCUCGCCCAAGCACGCUUAACUUCAGAGUUCUAAUGGGAUCCGAUGCUUUAGUGCUGGUAUGAUCGCAUCCGACGUGUUUUCCCGUCUUCGUCCCUUAUGCUUGCCACUCCCAGGUCCGCUCCAAAGACGAUUCUACAUUCUCACUACCAUUACAACCGUUCCCUAACAAUGGAUAAUGUCCUAUACUACUUAUUCUCCCACUCAAUCACGGAGACGAGUUUUCCACGGUUUCCACCCCUCCCUCCAUACCGCAGCAGCACGAGUUUUUUCCACCCCUUUAAGAACGCGCUCUUCGCGCCACAAAGCCGCCCCAAGACGCGCGAGCAAUGAGCAUCGAGCUUAAACAUAUCGCAAACGUCAAAAAUAAUAUAACGGGAUUAAUAUAUAUCGCGCGCGUGCGAUAUGUUUGUCACAAGGCGCAAAGAAUAUUUAAAAAUGGAAUGCAACACGAGGACUUCCACGAGGUCACCCAUCCUAGUACUACUCUCGCCCAAGCACGCUUAACUUCGGAGUUCUGAUGGGAUCCGGUGCUUUAGUGCUGGUAUGAUCGCAUCCAACAUGUUUCCCCGUCUUCGUACCUUAUGCUUGCCACUCCCAGGUCCGCUCCAAAGACGAUUCUACAUUCUCACUACCAUUACAACCGUUCCCUAACAAUGGAUAAUGUCCUAUACUAGUUACUCUCCCGCUCAAUCACGGAGACGAGUUUUCCACGGUUUCCACCCCUCCCUCCAUACCGCAGCAACAUGAGUUUUUUCCACCCCUUUCAGAACGCGCUCUUCGCGCCGCAAAGCCGCCCCAAGACGUGCGAGCAAUGAGCAUCGAGCUUAAACAUAUCGCAAACGUCAAAAAUAAUAUAACGGGAUUAAUAUAUAUCGCGCACGUGCGAUAUGUUUGUCACAAGGCGCAAAAAAUAAUUGAAUAGGGAUUGCAACACGAGGACUUCCCAGGAGGUCACCCAUCCUAGUACUACUCUCGCCCAAGCACGCUUAACUUCAGAGUUCUAAUGGGAUCCGGUGCUUUAGUGCUGGUAUGAUCGCAUCCAACAUGUUUCCCCGUCUUCGUCCCUUAUGCUUGCCACUCCCAGGUCCGCUCCAAAGACGAUUCUACAUUCUCACUAACAUUACAACCGUUCCCUAACAAUGGAUAAUGUCCUAUACUACUUACUCUCCCGCUCAAUCACGGAGACGAGUUUUCCACGGUUUCCACCCCUCCCUCCAUACCGCAGCAACACGAGUUUUUUCCACCCCUUUCAGAACGCGCUCUUCGCGCCACAAAGCCGCCCCAAGACGUGCGAGCAAUGAGCAUCGAGCUUAAACAUAUCGCAAACGUCAAAAAUAAUAUAACGGGAUUAAUAUAUAUCGCGCACGUGCGAUAUGUUUGUCACAAGGCGCAAAAAAUAAUUGAAUAGGGAUUGCAACACGAGGACUUCCCAGGAGGUCACCCAUCCUAGUACUACUCUCGACCAAGCACGCUUAACUUUGGAGUUCUGAUGGGAUCCGGUGCUUUAGUGCUGGUAUGAUCACAUCCGACAUGUUUCCCUGUCUUCGUCCCUUAUGCUUGCCACUCCCAGGUCCGCCCCAAAGACGAUUCUACAUUCUCACUAACAUUACAACCGUUCCCUAACAAUGGAUAAUGUCCUAUACUACUUACUCUCCCGCUCAAUCACGGAGACGAGUUUUCCACGGUUUCCACCCCUCCCUCCAUACCGCAGCAACACGAGUUUUUUCCACCCCUUUAAGAACGCGCUCUUCGCGCCACAAAGCCGCCCCAAGACGCGCGAGCAAUGAGCAUCGAGCUUAAACAUAUCGCAAACGUCAAAAAUAAUAUAACGGGAUUAAUAUAUAUUGCGCACGUGCGAUAUGUUUGUCACACGGCGCAAAAAAUAAUUAAAAAGGGAAUGCAACACGAGGACUUCCUAGGAGGUCACCCAUCCCAGUACUACUCUCGCCCAAGCACGCUUAACUUCGAAGUUCUGAUGGGAUCCGGUGCUUUAGUGCUGGUAUGAUCGCAUCCGACUUGUUUCCCCAUCUUCGUCCCUUAUGCUUGCCACUCCCAGGUCCGCUCCAAAGACGAUUCUACAUUAUCACUACCAUUACAACCGUUCCCUAACAAUGGAUAAUGUACUAUACUACUUACUCUCCCGCUCAAUCACGGAGACGAGUUUUCCACGGUUUCCACCCCUCCCUCCAUACCGCAGCAACACGAGUUUUUUCCACCCCUUUCAGAACGCGCUCUUCGCGCCACAAAGCCGCCCCAAGACGCGCGAGCAAUGAGCAUCGAGCUUAAACAUAUCGCAAACGUCAAAAAUAAUAUAACGGGAUUAAUAUAUAUCGCGCACGUGCGAUAUGUUUGUCACAAGGCGCAAAAAAUAAUUAAAAAGGGAAUGCAACACGAGGACUUCCCAGGAAGUCACCCAUCCUAGUACUACUCUCGCCCAAGCACGCAUAACUUCGGAGUUCUGAUGGGAUCCGGUGCUUUAGUGCUAGUAUGAUCGCAUCCGACGUGUUUCCCCGUCUUCGUCCCUUAUGCUUGCCACUCCCAGGUCCGCUCCAAAGACGAUUCUACAUUCUCUCUACCAUUACAACCGUUCCCUAACAAUGGAUAAUGUCCUAUACUACUUACUCUCCCGCUCAAUCACGGAGACGAGUUUUCCACGUUUUCCACCCCUCCCUCCAUACCGCAGCAACACGAUUUUUUUCCACUCCUUUCAAAACACGCUCUUCGCGCCACAAAGCCGCCCCAAGACGCACGAGCAAUGAGCAUAGAGCUUAAACAUAUCGCAAACGUCAAAAAUAAUAUAACGGGAUUAAUAUAUAUCGCGCACGUGCGAUAUGUUUGUCACGAGGCGCAAAAAAUAUUUGAAUAGGGAAUGCAACAGGAGGACUUCCCAGGAGGUCACCCAUCCUAGUAAUACUCUCGCCCAAGCACGCUUAACUUCUGAGUUCUCAUGGGAUCCGGUGCUUUAGAGCUAGUAUGAUCGCAUCCAACAUGUUUCCCUGUCUUCGUCCCUUAUGCUUGCCACUCCCAGGUCCGCUCCAAAGACGAUUCUACAUUCUCACUACCAUUACAACCGUUCCCUAACAAUGGAUAAUGUCCUAUACUACUUACUCUCCUGCUCAAUCACGGAGACGAGUUUUCCACGGUUUCCACCCCUCCCUCCAUACCGCAGCAACACGAGUUUUUUCCACCCCUUUCAGAACGCGCUCUUCGCACCACAAAGCCGCCCCAAGACGCGCGAGCAAUGAGCAUCGAGCUUAAACAUAUCGCAAACGUCAAAAAUAAUAUAACGGGAUUAAUAUAUAUCGCGCACGUGCGAUAUGUUUGUCACAAGGCGCAAAAAUAAUUAAAUAGGGAGUGCAACACGAGGACUUCCCAGGAGGUCACCCAUCCUAGUACUACAAUCGCCCAAGCACGCUUAACUUCGAAGUUCUGAUGGGAUCCGGUGCUUUAGUGCUGGUAUGAUCGCAUCCGACAUGUUUACCUGUCUUUGUCCCUUAUGCUUGCCACUUCCAGGUCCGCUCCAAAGAUGAUUCUGCAUUCUCACUACCAUUACAACCGUUCCCUAACAGUGGAUAAUGUCCUAUACUACUUACUCUCCCGCUCAAUCAUGGAGACGAGUUUUCCACGGGUUCCACCCCUCCCUCCAUACCGCAGCAACACGAGUUUUUUCCACCCCUUUCAGAACGCGCUCUUCGCGCCACAAAGCCGCCCCAAGACGUGCGAGCAAUGAGCAUCGAGCUUAAACAUAUCGCAAACAUCAAAAAUAAUAUAACGGGAUUAAUAUAUAUCGCGCACGUGCGAUAUAUUUGUCACAAGGCGCAAAAAAUAAUUAAAAAGGGAAUGCAACAUGAGGACUUCCCAGGAGGUCACCCAUCCUAGUACUACUCUCGCCCAAGCAAGCUUAACUUCGGAGUUCUGAUGGGAUCCGGUGCUUUAGUGCUGGUAUGAUCGCAUCUGACAUGUUUCCCCGUCUUCGUCCCUUAUGCUUGCCACUCCCAGGUCCGCUCCAAAGACGAUUCUACAUUCUCACUAGCAAUACAACCGUUCCCUAACAAUGGAUAAUGUCCUAUACUACUUACUCUCCCGCUCAAUCACUGAGACGAGUUUUCCACGGUUUCCACCCCUCCCUCCAUACCGCAGCAACACGAGUUUUUUCCACCCCUUUCAGAACGCGCUCUUCGCGCCACAAAGUCGCCCCAAGACGCGCGAGCAAUGAGCAUCGAGCUUAAACAUAUCGCAAACAUCAAAAAUAAUAUAACGGAAUUAAUAUAUAUCGCAGACAUGCGAUAUGUUUGUCACAAGGCGCAAAAAAUAAUUAAAAAGGGAAUGCAACACGAGGACUUCCCAGGAGGUAACCCAUCCUAGUACUACUCUCGCCCAAGCACGCUUAACUUCGGAGUUCUGAUUGUAUCCGGUGCUUUAGUGCUGGUAUGAUCGCAUCCGACAUGUUUCCCCGUCUUUGUCCCUUAUGCUUGCCACUCCCAAGUCCGCUCCAAAGACAAUUCUACAUUCUUACUACCAUUACAACUGUUUCCUGACAAUGGAUAAUGUCCUAUACUACUUACUCUCCCGCUCAAUCACGGAUACGAGUUUUCCAUGGUUUCCACCCCUCCCUCCAUACCGCAGCAACACGAGUUUUUUCCACCCCUUUCAAAACGCGCUCUUCGCGCCACAAAGCCGCCCCAAGACGCGCGAGCAAUGAGCAUCGAUCUUAAACAUAUCGCAAACGUCAAAAAUAAUAUAACGGGAUUAAUAUAUAUCGCGCACGUGCAAUAUGUUUGUCACAAGGCGCAAAAUAUAAUUAAAAAGGGAAUGCAACACGAGGACUUCCCAGGAGGUCACCCAUCCUAGUACUACUCUCGCCCAAGCAUGCUUAACUUCGGAGUUCUGAUGGGAUCCGGUGCUUUAGAGCUGGUAUGAUCGCAUACGACAUGUUUCCCCGUCUUCGUCCCUUAUGCUUGCCACUCCCAGGUCCGCUUCAAAGAUGAUUCUACAUUCUCACUACCAUUACAACCGUUCCCUAACAAUGGAUAAUGUCCUAUACUACUUACUCUCCCGCUCAAUCACAGAGACUAGUUUUCCACGGUUUCCCCCCCUCCCUCCAUACCGCAGCAACACGAGUUUUUUCCACCCCUUUUAGAACGCGCUCUUCGCGCCACAAAGCCGCCCCAAGACACGCGAGCAAUGAGCAUCGAGCUUAAACAUAUCACAAACGUCAAAAAUAAUAUGACGGGAUUAAUAUAUAUCACGCACGUGUGAUAUGUUUGUCACAAGGCGCAAAAAAUAAUUAAAAAGGGAAUGCAACACGAGGACUUCCCAGGAGGUCACCCAUCCUAGUACUACUCUCGCCCAAGCACGCUUAAUUUCGGAGUUCUGAUGGGAUCCGGUGCUUUAGUGCUGGUAUGAUCGCAUCCGACAUGUUUCCCCGUCUUCGUCCCUUAUGCUUGCCACUCCCAGGUCCGCUCCAAAGACGAUUCUACAUUCUCACUACCAUUACAACCGUUCCCUAACAAUGGAUAAUGUCCUAUACUACUUACUCUCCCGCUCAAUCACGGAGACGAGUUUUCCACGGUUUCCAUCCCUCCCUCCAUACCGCAGCAACAUGAGUUUUUUCCACCCCUUUUAGAACGCGCUCUACGCGCCACAAAGCCGCCCCAAGACACGCGAGCAAUGAGCAUCGAGCUUAAACAUAUCACAAACGUCAAAAAUAAUAUGACGGGAUUAAUAUAUAUCACGCACGUGUGAUAUGUUUGUCACAAGGCGCAAAAAAUAAUUAAAAAGGGAAUGCAACACGAGGACUUCCCAGGAGGUCACCCAUCCUAGUACUACUCUCGCCCAAGCACGCUUAACUUCGGAGUUCUGAUGGGAUCCGGUGCUUUAGUGCUGGUAUGAUCACAUCCGACAUGUUUCCCCGUCUUCGUCCCUUAUGCUUGCCACUCCCAGGUCCGCUCCAAAGACGAUUCUACAUUCUCACUACCAUUACAACCGUUCCCUAACAAUGGAUAAUGUCCUAUACUACUUACUCUCCCGCUCAAUCACGGAGACGAGUUUUCCACGGUUUCCACCCCUCCCUCCAUACAGCAGCAACACGAGUUUUUUCACCCCUUUCAGAACGCGCUCUUCGCGCCACCAAGCCGCCCCAAGACGCGCGAGCAAUGAGCAUCGAGCUUAAACAUAUCGCAAACGUCAAAAAUAAUAUAACGGGAUUAAUAUAUAUCGCGCACGUGCGAUAUGUUUGUCACAAGGCGCAAAAACUAAUUAAAAAGGGAAUGCAACACGAGGACUUCCCAGGAGGUCACCCAUCCUAGUACUACUAUAGCCCAAGCACGCUUAACUUCGGAGUUCUGAUGGGAUCCGGUGCUUUAGUGCUGGUAUGAUCGCAUCCGACAUGUUUCCCCGUCUUCGUCCCUUAUGCUUGCCACUCCCAGGUCCGCUCCAAAGACGAUUCUACAUUGUCACUACCAUUACAACCGUUCUCUAACAAUGGAUAAUGUCCUAUACUACUUACUCUCCCGCUCAAUCACGGAGACGAGUUUUCCACGGUUUCCAUCCCUCCCUCCAUACCGCAGCAAUACGAGUUUUUUCCACCCCUUUCAGAACGCGCUCUUCCCGCCACAAAGUCGCCCCAAGACGCGCGAGCAAUGAGCAUCGAGCUUAAACAUAUCGCAAACGUCAAAAAUAAUAUAACGGGAUUAAUAUAUAUCGCGCACGUGCGAUAUGUUUGUCACAAGGCGCAAAAAAUAAUUAAAAAGGGAAUGCAACACGAGGACUUCCCAAGAGGUCACCCAUCCUAGUACUACUCUCGCCCAAGCACGCUUAACUUCGGGGUUCUGAUGGGAUCCGGUGCUUUAGUGCUGGUAUGAUCGCAUCCGACAUGUUUCCCCGUCUUCGUCUCUUAUGCUUGCCACUCCCAGGUCCGCUCCAAAGACGAUUCUACAUUGUCACUACCAUUACAACCGUUCCCUAACAAUGGAUAAUGUCCUAUACUACUUACUCUCCCGCUCAAUUACGGAGACGAGUUUUCCACGGUUUCCACCCCUCCCUCCAUACAGCAGCAACACGAGUUUUUUCACCCCUUUCAGAACGCGCUCUUCGCGCCACCAAGCCGCCCCAAGACGCGCGAGCAAUGAGCAUCGAGCUUAAACAUAUCGCAAACGUCAAAAAUAAUAUAACGGGAUUAGUAUAUAUCGCGCAUGUGCGAUAUGUUUGUCACAAGGCGCAAAAAGUAAUUAAAAAGGGAAUGCAACACGAGGACUUCCCAGGAGGUCACCCAUCCUAGUACUACUCUCGCCCAAGCACGCUUAACUUCAGAGUUCUAAUGGGAUCCGGUGCUUUAGUGCUGGUAUGAUCGCAUCCGACGUGUUUUCCCGUCUUCGUCCCUUAUGCUUGCCACUCCCACGUCCGCUCCAAAGACGACUCUACAUUCUCACUACCAUUACAAUCGUUCCCUAACAAUGGAUAAUGUCCUAUACUACUUAUUCUCCCACUCAAUCACGGAGACGAGUUUUCCACGGUUUCCACCCCUCCGUCCAUACCGCAGCAGCACGAGUUUUUUCCACCCCUUUAAGAACGCGCUCUUCGCGCCACAAAGCCGCCCCAAGACACGCGAGCAAUGAGUAUCGAGCCUAAACAUAUCGCAAACGUCAAAAAUAAUAUAACGGGAUUAAUAUAUAUCGCGCAUGUGCGAUAUGUUUGUCACAAGGCGUAAAAAAUAAUUAAAAAGGGAAUGCAACACGAGGACUUCCCAGGAGGUCACCCAUCCUAGUACUACUCUCGCCCAAGCAUGCUUAACUUCGGAGUUCUGAUGGGAUCCGGUGCUUUAGUGCUGGUAUGAUCGCAUCCAACAUGUUUCCCCGUCUUCGUACCUUAUGCUUGCCACUCCCAGGUCCGCUCCAAAGACGAUUCUACACUCUCACUACCAUUACAACCGUUCCCUAACAAUGGAUAAUGUCCUAUACUGUCAGGACCUGACUCAAUGCCACAUCGAUCUAGCAUGUAACACCUCAUAUCACUUUGUGGCCUCACGCACGGUAUUCCCACGGGUGUCGCCUUACCUUUGCCCGGGACCGUUUGCGCCUUUUGGCACAUGUAUAUGAUAGUGUCGCUAGCAUCCAUAUGAUAAGGAGCCCAGGUUGACAUGGCUAGUCGUAAACCCAAAGUGGCACAGACUUACAGGGACAGGCAUCCAUGACCCAGCAUCGAACGUGUCGGUCAUCAGCGAGUGAAUCCAGGCUGUAGCACUGGGCUAGCAGGACUCCGGUGAACCGGGCUGUAGCGGGCUAACAGGACUCUGGUAUUCAUCGCGUGACAUUUCCCCGAAGGGACAGACACAGGAACGAAGAAGGACACAUGCCGGCCAGCCUAAGUGUUCCGGAGCAGUACCAAGCUACCAUGGCUCGGUGGAAACACUAGGAGACAUUUUCCGGUAAGAGAGGCUACUAAAGAUAAACAACUAGAUAGUCAGAUCCCACACAUACCAAGCAUUUCAAUAACAUACACACAAUAUGCUCGAUAUGUGCAAAUACAACAUGGCAUCACAACAUGACUCUACGACUCAAGUAUUUAUUCAUUAGGCUCCGAGGAGCGAGAUAUUACAAACAGGGGUCUCAUGACCCAACAUUCAGAGCAUACAAAUCAAAGCACAAGCGGAAGCUUAACAUGUCUGAGUACAGACAUCUAUAAAUGAAAAAGGCUGAGAAGCCUGACUGUCUACCAGAUCCUGCCGAGGGCACAAGAUCGUAGCUGAGGUAACAAGCUAAACAUCGAAGUCCACGUGGAACUACUAGUGAGACUGAAGUCUCUCUGCAAAAACAUAAAAUAGGCAAACAUGAGUACAAAUGUACCCAGCAAGACUUACAUCAGAACUAUCUACAUAUGCAUCAUUAUCAACAAAGGGAUGGUGGGGUUUAACUGCAGCAAGCCAGCUUUGACUCGGUGGCUAUCCUGAACUACUAUUGCAAGUAACUCUUUUGAGGUGGCGCACACGAGUCCACAUAUUCACCAUAGCAAUACACCACUAUGGAUCCGCUCCCGUCUCUCUACGAGAACGCCAUCCAUAGCACUCACGCUUAUCUUGCGUAUUUUAGAGUAUCCACUUUCACUUGUCUAUGAACUGUUAUAGGCAACCCAAAAGUCCUUUACCGCGGACAUGGCUAUUCGAAUAGAUGAUGUUAAUCCUGCAGGGGUGUACUUCUUCAUACAUGUUUCCACCACUUAGCGUCUGCACACGACAUGUGCUCGGCAGACUUCAAGCGAAAGCCGACGUGGGUGUAGACCACGACCUACCUAAACACUCAAGUCUCUAGUCCAGGUUUAUCGCCUAUUCGGGUUCCAUCCAUGAGGAGAUCCGGCCGGAGUUUCGCUCACAGCCCCAAACGAUGUGAACAGGGUUCCGUGACACCAAACGGGCGCCCGGUUUACCCGGCCACGUACCUACCGCAUCAUAGCCCACCCCUACGAUCAGCGCUGUCCACGGCCUCCAGUAGGCUACAAACACCAGAAACUACUUGCAACUCCUGGACAGAGGACUAGGGUGAAUAAGAAGCCGAGCGGGGUCAUAUUUCAGGGCCCAAUGCAUGGUAGUAGCUGAAUCAUGGAUCACAAACAUAGAACUCAGUUCCUAAGGACGGCUUCAAUGAGACAACCCACCAUGUACUCCUACAUGGCCUCUCACCGAUACCUUUACCAAAUCAUGUUCACACACUUAGCUCACACACAGUAGGACAUGUUCACACACCUCUGAUUCAUCCUCGAUGAAUCAGACCUGAUUCAACUCUAAGCAAUAGCAGGCAUGACAAACAAACAUGAAUGAGUAGGCACAACAGGGCUCAAACAAACUCCUACUCAUGCUAGUGGGUUUCAUCUAUUUACUGUGGCAAUGACAGGUCAUGCAGAGGAUAAAGGGGUUCAACUACCGCAGCAAGUAACAGUUGAAUCGAUGUUGUCCUAAUGUAGUAAAAGAGAGCAGGAGCGAGAGAGUGGGAUUGUAUCGGAAUGAACAAGGGGGUUUUGCUUGCCUGACACUUCUGAAGAUAGCUUUGAGUCUUCAUCAGUGUCAACGAUCACAACGUCGGUACAACGUCUACCGAGGGGGAACAACACCAGCAAACACAGAAGAAACACGAUCAAUGCAAUGCACAAUAUGAUGCAUCCUAUGACAUGGCAAUAUGAAUGUGUUUUGGGCUAAUGCAAGCUAGAACAUAUUGAAAUGAGUUCAUUUGAACCAAAGAUUCAAAUGCAAACCCAUUAUAUGAAGUCAUAAAGGUGCAUUAACUUAUUUCAUCUAAACAGCAGGGUUAAGUUGCUCUAACAUGCAUGAAACUAGUGCAGAUGGAUAGAUUGGAUUUUUCUCAUCAUUUUUCAUAUAUAAAUCUUUGCAUUUGGAGUUACAGAUUAAUUUCUAUGAAUUUUUGAAGUUUGCAACAAUUUCUAGAAUUUCCUGUAAAAGAAUAAAUCCAGAAAAGGGCAUUACUGCGUCAGCCUGACAUCAUCAUGACGGCAGCAGGUCAACGAGGCACGGUCCAGGUCAAACCUGACGUGUGGGGUCCACACGUCAGUGACUAACUAACUAAUCUAAAUUAAUUAGUGUUAAACUACUACUAACUAAGAUUUGUCAGUGGAGUAAUUAAACUUAACUAAAAUUAAACUAGGAUUAGCUGGGGCCCUAGGCCCACUUGUCAGCGACCCAGGGGAGGUCAAACUACGGUCAAACCUGGGUCAGCGGGGUCAAACCCACCGGCGGCUUGACGCCGGCGAGGCCAGCCGCGGUGGCGAGCCUCGGGUUUGUGUCUCCGGCGACCAAACGGCCGGCGGAGGGCAUCUACGUGAUGCUGGGACUCGUGCGCAUCCAACACGACUAGCGGCAGCAGCCGGGGUGGACCGAGCUUGCUGGAAACGAGCUCGCAGCGGCGGCCGGAGUUCGGGCGCCGAUGAAAACGAUGACACCGUGCACGGGAGAAUCUACGGUUAGCACCUACGCGUUCUAUGAGACCUCACGAACCCAACGGAGGCACGCACGGGACCAAAUGGCCACCGGAGCCUCGUCCGCGACGAGCUCGUGCGGCGACGUGCUGUCGGGUGAGAGAGGCACGGCGGCUACGGCAUGCUAGAGAGAAAACGAAGAGGGGGAGGAUGAUCAGGAGCUCACGUGGAGUGCAUUGGUGGCCUCGGCGUGCUCGGGGAAGCUCGAACAGCGGCGAUUUGGCGAUGGAGAUCCGCGGCGGCCGACGAUGAAGAAGUGGUCGGGGACGGCGUGUUGGAGCUCUUCCGGCCAUGUGAGCUGAUGGAGAGGAUGAGGGUGUCACAACGGAGCUCUUGGACUCGUCGGAGAGGCGAGGCCGUGGCGGUGGGCGCGGCAACAACGAGCGGCGGCGACAGCUCGCUCGGCUUCGGAAGAGAGGGCGAAAGAGGCGAGGCAGGGAGAGAGGGGAGCGGUCGAGGGGGUCCAGGGGGGCUGCGUGGCACACCUAGCGAUGUCCAGGAGCAAGCGGAAAGCAUGAGGUGGCCGGCGCGUGCGCGCGCGCGUCGGGCACACGCCCUCCUGCCUACUGGCAGGAGGUUGAAGACGGUGGCGGCUGCGGUCGGCUGGGCCGCACAGUGCUGGACCAACACAGGAGCUGGGCCGGCUCUGGUGGGCUGCCCGGGUGAGGCCAGGUACUAGCUCUCUCUCUCUUUUAUUUUCUGUUUUCUAUUAUUUCUGUAACUUUAGGGCUUUGUUUAAAAUACUUAAGCAGAUCCAAAAAUCAUAAAACUAAUCAUGGCUACUAUUUAGGAUAUAUCCAACAGUAAACAUUUUAGUUUAUGAUUAUUUGAGCAUUUAAAAUAUUUUAUUGUAUUUAAAUGCCCAAAUGCAAAUAGAGUAUGAUUUAAUUCAGAGCCCAAUAUGUCCUGCAAAAAUAUAAACCAUUUUUGGUACAUGCUUUCACCUCAAACCAGAAAUGUUGAACAUUUUUAGAGGGCAUUUUGAGUUCAAUGAAAAAGAUUUUAUUUUGACCCUAGUUGAAUUCAUUUGGUGCUAGGGUUUAAGCAUCCCCAUUUCAAGUUUCAUAAAAUUUAAACAUGAUGCAUGGAUCCUAAUGCAAAGACAAGCAAGGCCUGAACUAGGGCUCUGACAUAUACUACUUACUCUCCCGCUCAAUCACGGAGACGAGUUUUCCACGGUUUCCACCCCUCCCUCCAUACUGCAGCAACACGAGUUUUUUCCACCCCUUUCAGAACGCGCUCUUCGCGCCACAAAGCCGCCCCAAGACGCGCGAGCAAUGAGCAUCGAGCUUAAACAUAUCGCAAACGUAAAAAAUAAUAUAACGGGAUUAAUAUAUAUCGCGCACGUGCGAUAUGUUUGGCACAAGGCGCAAAAAAUAAAUAAAAAGGGAAUGCAACACGAGGACUUCCCAGGAGGUCACCCAUCCUAGUACUACUCUCACCCAAGUACGCUUAACUUCGGAGUUCUGAUGGGAUCCGGUGCUUUAAUGCUGGUAUGAUCGCAUCCGACAUGUUUCCCCGUCUUCCUCCCUUAUGCUUGCCACUCCCAGGUCCGCUCCAAAAACGAUUCUACAUUCUCACUACCAUUACAACCGCUCCCUAACAAUGGAUAAUGUCCUAUACUACUUACUCUCCCGCUCAAUCACGGAGAUGAGUUUUCCACGGAUUCCACCCCUCCCUCCAUACCGCAGCAACACGAGUUUUUGCCACCCCUUUCAGAACGCGCUCUUCGCGCCAUAAAGCCGCCCCAAGACGCGCGAGCAAUGAGCAUCGAGCUUAAACAUAUCGCAAACGUCAAAAAUAAUAUAACGGGAUUAAUAUAUAUCGCGCACAUGCGAUAUGUUUGUCACAAGGCACAAAACAUAAUUAAAAAGGGAAUGCAACACGAGGACUUCCCAGGAGGUCACCCAUCCUAGUACUACUCUCACCAAAGCACGCUUAACUUCGGAGUUCUAAUGGGAUUCGGUGCUUUAGAGCUGGUAUGAUCGCAUCCGACAUGUUUCCCCGUCUUCGUCCCUUAUGCUUGCCACUCCCAGGUCCGCUCCAAAGACGAUUCUACAUUCUCACUACCAUUACAACCGUUCCCUAACAAUGGAUAAUGUCCUAUACUACUUCUCUCCCGCUCAAUCAGGGAGACGAGUUUUCCACGGUUUCCACCCCUCCCUCCAUACCGCAGCAACAUGAGUUUUUUCCACCCCUUUCAGAACGCGCUCUUCGCGCCACAAAGCCGCCCCAAGACGCGCGAGCAAUGAGCAUCGAGCUUAAACAUAUCGCAAAUGUCAAAAAAAAUAAUAUGAUGGGAUUAAUAUAUAUCGCCCAUGUGCGAUAUGUUUGUCACAAGGCGCAAAAAAUAAUUAAAAAGGGAAUGCAACACGAGGACUUCCCAGGAGGUCACCCAUCCUAGUACUACUCUCGCCCAAGCACGCUUAAUUUCGGAGUUCUGAUGGGAUCCGGUGCUUUAGUGCUGGUAUGAUCGCAUCCGACAUGUUUCCCCGUCUUCGUCCCUUAUGCUUGCCACUCCCAGGUUCGCUCCAAAGACGAUUCUACAUUCUCACUACCAUUACAACCGUUCGCUAACAAUGGAUAAUGUCCUAUACUACUUACUCUCCCGCUCAAUCACGGAGACGAGUUUUCCACGGUUUCCACCCCUCCCUCCAUAUCGCAGCAACACGAGUUUUUUCCACCCCUUUCAGAACGCGCUCUUCGCGCCACAAAGUCGCCCCAAGACGCGCGAGCAAUGAGCAUCGAGCUUAAACAUAUCGCAAACGUCAAAAAAAAUAUAACGGGAUUAAUAUAUAUCGCGCACGUGCGAUAUGUUUGUCACAAGGCGCAAAAAAUAAUUAAAAAGGGAAUGCAACACGAGGACUUCCCAGGAGGUCACCCAUCCUAGUACUACUCUCGCCCAAUCACGCUUAACUACGGAGUUCUGAUGGGAUCCGGUGCUUUAAUGCUGGUAUGAUCGCAUCCAACAUGUUUCCCCGUCUUCGUCCCUUAUGCUUGCCACUCCUAGGUCCGCUCCAAAAACGAUUCUACAUUCUCACUACCAUUACAACCGUUCCCUAACAAUGGAUAAUGUCCUAUACUACUUACUCUCCCGCUCAAUCACGGAGACGAGUUUUCCACGGAUUCCACCCCUCCCUCCAUACCGCAACAACACGAGUUUUUUCCACCCCUUUCAGAAUGCGCUCUUCGCGCCAUAAAGCCGCCCCAAGACGCACGAGCAAUGAACAUCGAGCUUAAACAUAUCGCAAACGUCAAAAAUAAUAUAACGGGAUUAAUAUAUAUCGCGCACGUGCGAUAUGUUUGUCACAAGGCGCAAAAAAUAAUUAAAAAGGGAAUGCAACACGAGGACUUCCCAAGAGGUCACCCAUCCUAGUACUACUCUCGCCCAAGCACGCUUAAUUUCGGAGUUCUAAUGGGAUUCGGUGCUUUAGAGCUGGUAUGAUCGCAUCCGACAUGUUUCCCCGUCUUCGUCCCUUAUGCUUGCCACUCCCAGGUUCGCUCCAAAGACGAUUCUACAUUCUCACUACCAUUACAACCGUUCCCUAACAAUGGAUAAUGUCCUAUACUACUUACUCUCACGCUCAAUCACGGAGACGAGUUUUCCACGGUUUCCACCCCUCCCUCCAUACCGCAGCAACACGAGUUUUUUCCACCCCUUUCAGAACGCGCUCUUCGCGCCACAAAGUCGCCCCAAGACGCGCGAGCAAUGAGCAUCGAGCUUAAACAUAUCGCAAACGUCAAAAAUAAUAUAACGGGAUUAAUAUAUAUCGCGCACGUGCGAUAUGUUUGUCACAAGGCACAAAAAAUAAUUAAAAAGGGAAUGCAACACGAGGACUUCCCAGGAGGUCACCCAUCCUAGUACUACUCUCGCCCAAGCACGCUUAACUUCGGAGUUCUGAUGGGAUCCGGUGCUUUAAUGUUGGUAUGAUCGCAUCCAACAUGUUUCCCCGUCUUCGUCCCUUAUGCUUGCCACUCCUAGGUCCGCUCCAAAAACGAUUCUACAUUCUCACUACCAUUACAACCGUUCCCUAACAAUGGAUAAUGUCCUAUACUACUUACUCUCCUGCUCAAUCACGGAGAUGAGUUUUCCACGGUUUCCACCCCACCCUCCAUACCGCAGCAACACGAGUUUUUUCCACCCCUUUCAGAACGCGCUCUUCGUGCCAUAAAGCCGCCCCAAGACGCGCGAGCAAUGAGCAUCGAGCUUAAACAUAUCGCAAACGUCAAAAAUAAUAUAACGGGAUUAAUAUAUAUCGCGCACGUGCGAUAUGUUUGUCACAAGGCGCAAAAAAUAAUUAAAAAGGGAAUGCAACACGAGGACUUCCCAGGAGGUCACCCAUCCUAGUACUACUCUCGCGCAAUCACGCUUAACUUCGGGGUUCUGAUGGGAUCCGGUGCUUUAAUGCUGGUAUGAUCGCAUCCAACAUGUUUCCCCGUCUUCGUCCCUUAUGCUUGCCACUCCUAGGUCCGCUCCAAAAACGAUUCUACAUUCUCACUACCAUUACAACCGUUCCCUAACAAUGGAUAAUGUCCUAUACUACUUACUCUCCCGCUCAAUCACGGAGACGAGUUUUCCACGGAUUCCACCCCUCCCUCCAUACCGCAGCAACACGAGUUUUUUCCACCCCUUUCAGAACGCGCUCUUCGCGCCAUAAAGCCGCCCCAAGACGCGCGAGCAAUGAGCAUCGGGCUUAAACAUAUCGCAAACGUCAAAAAUAAUAUAACGGGAUUAAUAUAUAUCGCGCACGUGCGAUAUGUUUGUCACAAGGCGCAAAAAAUAAUUAAAAAGGGAAUGCAACACGAGGACUUCCCAGGAGGUCACCCAUCCUAGUACUACUCUCGCGCAAUCACGCUUAACUUCGGGGUUCUGAUGGGAUCCGNNNNNNNNNNNNNNNNNNNNNNNNNNNNNNNNNNNNNNNNNNNNNNNNNNNNNNNNNNNNNNNNNNNNNNNNNNNNNNNNNNNNNNNNNNNNNNNNNNNNNNNNNNNNNNNNNNNNNNNNNNNNNNNNNNNNNNNNNNNNNNNNNNNNNNNNNNNNNNNNNNNNNNNNNNNNNNNNNNNNNNNNNNNNNNNNNNNNNNNNNNNNNNNNNNNNNNNNNNNNNNNNNNNNNNNNNNNNNNNNNNNNNNNNNNNNNNNNNNNNNNNNNNNNNNNNNNNNNNNNNNNNNNNNNNNNNNNNNNNNNNNNNNNNNNNNNNNNNNNNNNNNNNNNNNNNNNNNNNNNNNNNNNNNNNNNNNNNNNNNNNNNNNNNNNNNNNNNNNNNNNNNNNNNNNNNNNNNNNNNNNNNNNNNNNNNNNNNNNNNNNNNNNNNNNNNNNNNNNNNNNNNNNNNNNNNNNNNNNNNNNNNNNNNNNNNNNNNNNNNNNNNNNNNNNNNNNNNNNNNNNNNNNNNNNNNNNNNNNNNNNNNNNNNNNNNNNNNNNNNNNNNNNNNNNNNNNNNNNNNNNNNNNNNNNNNNNNNNNNNNNNNNNNNNNNNNNNNNNNNNNNNNNNNNNNNNNNNNNNNNNNNNNNNNNNNNNNNNNNNNNNNNNNNNNNNNNNNNNNNNNNNNNNNNNNNNNNNNNNNNNNNNNNNNNNNNNNNNNNNNNNNNNNNNNNNNNNNNNNNNNNNNNNNNNNNNNNNNNNNNNNNNNNNNNNNNNNNNNNNNNNNNNNNNNNNNNNNNNNNNNNNNNNNNNNNNNNNNNNNNNNNNNNNNNNNNNNNNNNNNNNNNNNNNNNNNNNNNNNNNNNNNNNNNNNNNNNNNNNNNNNNNNNNNNNNNNNNNNNNNNNNNNNNNNNNNNNNNNNNNNNNNNNNNNNNNNNNNNNNNNNNNNNNNNNNNNNNNNNNNNNNNNNNNNNNNNNNNNNNNNNNNNNNNNNNNNNNNNNNNNNNNNNNNNNNNNNNNNNNNNNNNNNNNNNNNNNNNNNNNNNNNNNNNNNNNNNNNNNNNNNNNNNNNNNNNNNNNNNNNNNNNNNNNNNNNNNNNNNNNNNNNNNNNNNNNNNNNNNNNNNNNNNNNNNNNNNNNNNNNNNNNNNNNNNNNNNNNNNNNNNNNNNNNNNNNNNNNNNNNNNNNNNNNNNNNNNNNNNNNNNNNNNNNNNNNNNNNNNNNNNNNNNNNNNNNNNNNNNNNNNNNNNNNNNNNNNNNNNNNNNNNNNNNNNNNNNNNNNNNNNNNNNNNNNNNNNNNNNNNNNNNNNNNNNNNNNNNNNNNNNNNNNNNNNNNNNNNNNNGAUGUGAUGGACAAGACCCAAUCCUAAACAUAGCACAAGAUCGUAUAGUUCGUUUGCUAGAGUUUUCCAAUGUCAAAGUAUCUUUUCCUUAGACCAUGAGAUCGUGUAACUCCCGGAUACCGUAGGAGUGCUUUGGGUAUGCCAAACGUCACAACGUAACUGGGUGACUAUAAAGGUAGACUACGGGUAUCUCCGAAAGUGUCUGUUGGGUGACAUGGAUCAAGACUGGGAUUUGUCACUCCGUAUGACGGAGAGGUAUCACUGGGCCCACUCGGUAAUGCAUCAUCAUAAUGAGCUCAGAGUGACCAAGUGUCUGGUCACGGGAUCAUGCAUUACGGUACGAGUAAAGUGACUUGCCGGUAACGAGAUUGAACGAGGUAUUGGGAUACCGACGGUCGAAUCUCGGGCAAGUAACAUAUCGAUAGACAAAGGGAAUAGCGUACGGGAUUGAUUAAAUCCUCGACAUCGUGGUUCAUCCGAUGAAGAUCAUCGUGGAGCAUGUGGGAGCCAACAUGGGUAUCCAGAUCCCGCUGUUGGUUAUUGACCGGAGAGUCGUCUCGGUCAUGUCUGCUUGUCUCCCGAACCCGUAGGGUCUACACACUUAAGGUUCAGUGACGCUAGGGUUAUGAAGAUAUGUAUAUGCAGAAACCCGAAUGUUUUUCGGAGUCCCGGAUGAGAUCCCGGACGUCACGAGGAGUUCCGGAAUGGUCCGGAGGUAAAGAAUUAUAUAUAGGAAGUGCUAUUUCGGGCAUCGGGACAAGUUUCGGGGUUAUCGGUAUUGUACCGGGACCACCGGAAGGGUCCCGGGGGUCCACCGGGUGGGGCCACCUGUCCCGGGGGGCCACAUGGGCUGUAGGGGGUGCGCCUUGGCCUAGAUGGGCCAUGGGCACCAGCCCCUAUAGGCCCAUGCGCCUAGGGUUUCCACCAUGGAAGAGUCCAUGUGGUGGAAGGCACCCCUAGGUGCCUUGGGGGGGAGGGAAACCUCCCCUUGGCCGCCGCCCCCCCUAUUAGAUCUCAUCUACUAGGGCCGGCGCCCCCCUGGCACCCCUAUAUAUAGUGGGGGAGAGGAGGGAUUUCACACCAGCCCCUGGCGCCUCCAUCUCCCCCUGUUACGUCUCUCCCUCGUAGUCUCGGCGAAGCCCUGCUGCUGUGACGCCCUGCAUCCACCACCACGCCGUCGUGCUGCUGGAUCUUCAUCAACCUCUCCUUCCCCCUUGCUGGAUCAAGAAGGAGGAGACGUCUCCCGUCCCGUACGUGUGUUGAACGCGGAGGUGCCGUCCGUUCGGCGCUGGUCAUCGGUGAUUUGAAUCACGUCGAGUACGACUACAUCAUCACCGUUCUUUUGAACGCUUCCGUGCGCGAUCUACAAAGGUAUGUAGAUGCAUCUAAUCACUCGUUGCUAGAUGAACUCCUAGAUGAUCUUGGUGAAACGAGUAGGAAAAUUUUUGUUUUGUGCAACGUUCCCCAACAGUGGCAUCAUGAGCUAGGUCUAUGCGUAGUUCUUCUUGCGCGAGUAGAACACAAUUUGUUGUGGGCGUAGAUUUGUCAACUUUCUUGCCGUUACUAGUCCUUUCUUGCUUCAGCGGUAUUGUGGGAUGAAGCGGCCCGGACCAACCUUACACGUACGCUUACGUGAGACCGGUUCCACCGACUAACAUGCACUAGUUGCAUAAGGUGGCUGGCGGGUGUCUGUCUCUCCUACUUUAGUUGGAGCGGAAUCGAUGAACAGGGUCCUUAUGAAGGGUAAAUAGAAGUUGACAAAUCACGUUGUGGCUUUAACGUAGGUAAGAAAACGUUCUUGCUAGAACCCUAAUUCAGCCACGUAAAACUUGCAACAACAAUUAGAGGACGUCUAACUUGUUUUUGCAGCAAGUGGUUUGUGAUAUGAUAUGGCCAAAGUUGUGAUGAAUGAUGAAUGAUCUAUAUGUGAUGUAUGAGAUGUUCAUGCUAUUNNNNNNNNNNNNNNNNNNNNNNNNNNNNNNNNNNNNNNNNNNNNNNNNNNNNNNNNNNNNNNNNNNNNNNNNNNNNNNNNNNNNNNNNNNNNNNNNNNNNNNNNNNNNNNNNNNNNNNNNNNNNNNNNNNNNNNNNNNNNNNNNNNNNNNNNNNNNNNNNNNNNNNNNNNNNNNNNNNNNNNNNNNNNNNNNNNNNNNNNNNNNNNNNNNNNNNNNNNNNNNNNNNNNNNNNNNNNNNNNNNNNNNNNNNNNNNNNNNNNNNNNNNNNNNNNNNNNNNNNNNNNNNNNNNNNNNNNNNNNNNNNNNNNNNNNNNNNNNNNNNNNNNNNNNNNNNNNNNNNNNNNNNNNNNNNNNNNNNNNNNNNNNNNNNNNNNNNNNNNNNNNNNNNNNNNNNNNNNNNNNNNNNNNNNNNNNNNNNNNNNNNNNNNNNNNNNNNNNNNNNNNACAAUGGAUAAUGUCCUAUACUACUUACUCUCCCGCUCAAUCACGGAGACGAGUUUUCCACGGAUUCCACCCCUCCCUCCAUACCGCAGCAACACGAGUUUUUUCCACCCCUUUCGGAAUGCGCUCUUCGCGCCAUAAAGCCGCCCCAAGACGCGCGAGCAAUGAGCAUCGAGCUUAAACAUAUCGCAAACGUCAAAAAAAAUAUAACGGGAUUAAUAUAUAUCGCGCACGUGCGAUAUGUUUGUCACAAGGCGCAAAAAAUAAUUAAAAAGGGAAUGCAACAAGAGGACUUCCCAGGAGGUCACCCAUCCUAGUACUACUCUCGCUCAAGCACGCUUAACUUCGGAGUUCUAAUGGGAUUCGGUGCUUUAGAGCUGGUAUGAUCGCAUCCAACAUGCUUCCCCGUCUUCGUCCCUUAUGCUUGCCACUCCCAGGUCCGCUCCAAAGACGAUUCUACAUUCUCACUACCAUUACAACCGUUCCCUAACAAUGGAUAAUGUCCUAUACUACUUACUCUCCCGCUCAAUCACGGAGACGAGUUUUCCACGGUUUCCACCCCUCCCUCCAUACCGCAACAACACGAGUUUUUUCCACCUCUUCCAGAACGCGCUCUUCGCGCCACAAAGCCGCCCCAAGACGCGCGAGCAAUGAGCAUCGAGCUUAAACAUAUCACAAACGUCAAAAAUAAUAUAACGGGAUUAAUAUAUAUCGCGCACGUGCGAUAUGUUUGUCACAAGGUGCAAAAAAUAAUUAAAAAGGGAAUGCAACACGAGGACUUCCCAGGAGGUCACCCAUCCUAGUACUACUCUCGCCCAAGCACGCUUAACUUCGAAGUUCUGAUGUGAUCCGGUGCUUUAGUGCUGGUAUGAUCGCAUCCGACAUGUUUCCCCGUCUUCGUCCCUUAUGCUUGCCACUCCCAGGUGCGCUCCAAAGACGAUUCUACAUUCUCACUACCAUUACAACUGUUCCCUAACAAUGGAUAAUGUCCUAUACUACUUACUCUCCUGCUCAAUCGGAGAAGAGUUUUCCACGGUUUCCACCCCUCCCUCCAUACCGCAGCAACACGAGUUUUUUCCACCCCUUUCAGAACGCGCUCUUCGCGCCACAAAGCUGCCCCAAGACGCGCGAGCAAUGAGCAUCGUGUUGGAAAUAUGCCCUAGAGGCAAUAAUAAAAGCAUUAUUAUUAUAUUUCCUUGUUCAUGAUAAUUGUCUUUAUUCAUGCUAUAAUUGUGUUAUCCGGAAAUCGUAAUACAUGUGUGAAUAACAGACACCAACAUGUCCCUAGUGAGCCUCUAGUUGACUAGCUCGUUGAUCAACAGAUAGUCAUGGUUUCCUGACUAUGGACACUGGAUGUCAUUGAUAACGAGAUCACAUCAUUGGGAGAAUGAUGUGAUGGACAAGACCCAAUCCUAAACAUAGCACAAGAUCGUAUAGUUCGUUUGCUAGAGUUUUCCAAUGUCAAAGUAUCUUUUCCUUAGACCAUGAGAUCGUGUAACUCCCGGAUACCGUAGGAGUGCUUUGGGUAUGCCAAACGUCACAACGUAACUGGGUGACUAUAAAGGUAGACUACGGGUAUCUCCAAAAGUGUCUGUUGGGUGACAUGGAUCAAGACUGGGAUUUGUCACUCCGUAUGACGGAGAGGUAUCACUGGGCCCACUCGGUAAUGCAUCAUCAUAAUGAGCUCAGAGUGACCAAGUGUCUGGUCACGGGAUCAUGCAUUACGGUACGAGUAAAGUGACUUGCUGGUAACGAGAUUGAACGAGGUAUUGGGAUACCGACGAUCGAAUCUCGGGCAAGUAACAUAUCGAUAGACAAAGGGAAUAGCGUACGGGAUUGAUUAAAUCCUCGACAUCGUGGUUCAUCCGAUGAGAUCAUCGUGGAGCAUGUGGGAGCCAACAUGGGUAUCCAGAUCCCGCUGUUGGUUAUUGACCGGAGAGUCGUCUCGGUCAUGUCUGCUUGUCUCCCGAACCCGUAGGGUCUACACACUUAAGGUUCGGUGAUGCUGGGGUUAUGAAGAUAUGUAUAUGCGAAUGUUGUUCGGAGUCCCGGAUGAGAUCCCGGACGUCACGAGGAGUUCCGGAAUGGUCCGGAGGUAAAGAAUUAUAUAUAGGAAGUGCUAUUUCGGGCAUCGGGACAAGUUUCGGGGUUAUCGGUAUUGUACCGGGACCACCGGAAGGGUCCCGGGGGUCCACCGGGUGGGGCCACCUGUCCCGGGGGGGCCACAUGGGCUGUAGGGGGUGCGCCUUGGCCUAGAUGGGCCAAGGGCACCAGCCCCUAUAGGCCCAUGCGCCUAGGGUUUCCACCAUGGAAGAGUCCAUGUGGUGGAAGGCACCCCUAGGUGCCUUGGGGGGGAGGGAAACCUCCCCUUGGCCGCCGCCCCCCCUAGUAGAUGCCAUCUACUAGGGCCGGCGCCCCCCUGGCACCCCUAUAUAUAGUGGGGGAGAGGAGGGAUUUCAGACCAGCCCCUGGCGCCUCCAUCUCCCCCCGUUACGUCUCUCCCUCGUAGUCUCGGCGAAGCCCUGCUGCUGUGACGCCCUGCAUCCACCACCACGCCGUCGUGCUGCUGGAUCUUCAUCAACCUCUCCUUCCCCCUUGCUGGAUCAAGAAGGAGGAGACGUCUCCCGUCCCGUACGUGUGUUGAACGCGGAGGUGCCGUCCGUUCGGCGCUGGUCAUCGGUGAUUUGGAUCACGUCGAGUACGACUACAUCAUCACCGUUCUUUUGAACGCUUCCGUGCACGAUCUACAAAGGUAUGUAGAUGCAUCUAAUCACUCGUUGCUAGAUGAACUCCUAGAUGAUCUUGGUGAAACGAGUAGGAAAAUUUUUGUUUUCUGCAACGUUCCCCAACAGUGGCAUCAUGAGCUAGGUCUAUGCGUAGUUCUUCUUGCGCGAGUAGAACACAAUUUGUUGUGGGCGUAGAUUUGUCAACUUUCUUGCCGUUACUAGUCCUUUCUUGCUUCAGCGGUAUUGUGGGAUGAAGCGGCCCGGACCAACCUUACACAUACGCUUACGUGAGACCGGUUCCACCGACUAACAUGCACUAGUUGCAUAAGGUGGCUGGCGGGUGUCUGUCUCUCCUACUUUAGUUGGAGCGGAAUCGAUGAACAGGGUCCUUAUGAAGGGUAAAUAGAAGUUGACAAAUCACGUUGUGGCUUUAACGUAGGUAAGAAAACGUUCUUGCUAGAACCCUAAUUCAGCCACGUAAAACUUGCAACAACAAUUAGAGGACGUCUAACUUGUUUUUGCAGCAAGUGGUUUGUGAUAUGAUAUGGCCAAAGUUGUGAUGAAUGAUGAAUGAUCUAUAUGUGAUGUAUGAGAUGUUCAUGCUAUUGUAAUAGGAAUCACGACUUGCAUGUCGAUGAGUAUGACAACCGGCAGGAGCCAUAGGAGUUGUCUUUAUUCUUUUAUAUGACUUGCGUGUCAUCAAGAAACGCCAUGUAAAUUACUUUACUUUAUUGCUAAACGCGUUAGCCAUAGUAGUAGAAGUAAUAGUUGGCGAGCAACUUCAUGGAGACACGAUGAUGGAGAUCAUGAUGAUGGAGAUCAUGGUGUCAAGCCGGUGACAAGAUGAUCAUGGAGCCCCAAGAUGGAGAUCAAAGGAGCUAUGUGAUAUUGGCCAUAUCAUGUCACGUUUAUUAUUUGAUUGCAUGUGAUGUUUAUCAUGUUUUGCAUCUUGUUUAUUUAGAACGACGGUAGUAAAUAAGGUGAUCCCUCAUACUAAUUUCAAGAAGUGUUCCCCCUAACUGUGCACCGUUGUGACAGUUCGCUGUUUCAAAACACCACAUGAUGAUCGGGUGUUUUAUUCAGACGUUCACAUACAACGGGUGUAAGACAGAUUUACACAUGCAAACACUUAGGUUGACUUGACGAGCCUAGCAUGUACAGACAUGGCCUCGGAACACAGAAGACCGAAAGGUCGAGCAUGAGUCGUAUAGAAGAUAUGAUCAACAUGAAGAUGUUCACCGAUGUUGACUAGUCCGUCUCACAUGAUGAUCGGACACGGUCUAGUUUAACUCGGAUCAUGUAAUACUUAGAUGACUAGAGGGAUGUCUAAUCUAAGUGGGAGUUCAUUAAUAAUUUGAUUAGUUGAACUUAAUUAUCAUGAACUUAGUCUAAAUAUUUUACAAUAUGUCUUGUAGAUUAAAUGGCCAACGUAGUCCUCAACUUCAACGCGUUCCUAGAGAAAACCAAGCUGAAAGACGAUGGCAGCAACUAUACGGACUGGGUCCGGAACCUGAGGAUCAUCCUCAUAGCUGCCAAGAAAGAUUAUGUCCUACAAGCACCGCUUGGUGACGCACCCGUUCUCCCUGUAGAACAAGAUGUUAUGAACGCUUGGCAGGCACAUUCCGAUGACUACUCCCUCGUUCAGUGCGGCAUGCUUUACAGCCUAGAGCCGGGGCUCCAAAAGCGUUUUGAGAGACAUGGAGCAUAUGAGAUGUUCGAAGAGCUGAAAAUGGUUUUCCAAGCUCAUGCCCGGGUCGAGAGAUAUGAAGUCUCCGACAAAUUCUUCAGCUGUAAGAUGGAGGAAAACAGUUCUGUCAGUGAGCACAUACUCACUAUGUCUGGGUUGCAUAACCGCUUGACUCAGCUGGGAGUUAAUCUCCCGGAUGAUGCGGUCAUUGACAGAAUCCUCCAGUCGCUUCCACCAAGCUACAAGAGCUUUGUGAUGAACUUCAAUAUGCAGGGGAUGGAAAAGACCAUUCCUGAAGUAUUUGCUAUGCUGAAAUCAGCAGAGGUAGAAGUCAGGAAGGAACAUCAAGUGUUGAUGGUCAAUAAAACCACUAAGUUCAAGAAAGGCAAGGGUAAAAAGAACUUCAAGAAGGACGGCAAGGAGGUUGCCGCGCCCGGCAAGCAAGCUGCCGGGAAGAAGCCAAAGAAUGGACCCAAGCCCGAGACUGAGUGCUUUUAUUGCAAGGGAAGCGGUCACUGGAAGCGGAACUGCCCUAAGUACUUAGCGGAUAAGAAGGCCGGCAAAACAAAAGGUAUAUGUGAUAUACAUGUAAUUGAUGUGUACCUUACUAGUGCCCGUAGUAGCUCCUGGGUAUUUGAUACCGGUGCAGUUGCUCACAUUUGUAACUCAAAGCAGGGGCUGCGGAAUAAGCGGAAACUGGCAAAGGACGAGGUGACGAUGCGCGUCGAGAAUGGUCCCAAGGUCAAUGUGGUCGCCGUCGGCACGCUACCUCUGCAUCUCCCUUCAGGAUUAGUUUUAAACCUUAAUAAUUGUUAUUUAGUGCCAGCUUUGAGCAUGAACAUUGUAUCGGGAUCUCGUUUAAUUCGAGAUGGCUACUCUUUUAAAUCUGAGAAUAAUGGUUGUUCCAUUUUUAUGAGAGAUAUGUUUUAUGGUCAUGCUCCUAUGGUGAAUGGUUUAUUCUUUAUGAAUCUCGAACGUGAUGCUACACAUGUUCAUAAUGUGAGUACCAAAAGAAGUAAGGUUGAUAAUGAUAGUCCCACGUACCUGUGGCACUGCCGCCUUGGUCACAUAGAGGUCAAACGCAUGAAGAAGCUCCAUGCUGAUGGACUUUUAGAGUCUCUUGAUUAUGAAUCAUUUGACACAUGCGAACCAUGCCUUAUGGGUAAAAUGACCAAGACUCCGUUCUCAGGAACAAUGGAGCGAGCAAACGACUUAUUGGAAAUCAUACAUACUGAUGUGUGCGGUCCAAUGAGUGUUGAGGCUCGCGGUGGCUAUUGUUAUGUUCUCACCCUCACUGAUGAUUUAAGUAGGUAUGGGUAUAUCUACUUAAUGAAACACAAGUCUGAAACCUUUGAAAAGUUCAAGGAAUUUCAGAGUGAGGUUGAAAAUCAACGUGACAGGAAAAUCAAGUUUCUACGAUCAGAUCGUGGAGGAGAAUACUUGAGUCACGAGUUUGGCACACACUUAAGAAAAUGUGGAAUAGUUUCACAACUCACGCCGCCUGGAACACCUCAGCGUAAUGGUGUGUCCGAACGUCGUAAUCGCACUCUAUUAGAUAUGGUGCGAUCUAUGAUGUCUCUUACCGAUUUACCGCUAUCCUUUUGGGGCUAUGCUUUAGAGACUGCUGCAUUCACUUUAAAUAGGGCACCGUCGAAAUCCGUUGAGACGACACCGUAUGAAUUGUGGUUUGGGAAGAAACCUAAGCUGUCGUUUCUAAAAGUUUGGGGAUGCGAUGCUUAUGUCAAGAAACUUCAACCUGAAAAGCUCGAACCCAAGUCGGAAAAAUGCGUCUUCAUAGGAUACCCAAAAGAAACUAUUGGGUACACCUUCUACCUCAGAUCCGAAGGCAAGAUCUUUGUUGCCAAGAAUGGGUCCUUUCUGGAGAAAGAGUUUCUCUCGAAAGAAGUAAGUGGGAGGAAAGUAGAGCUUGAUGAAGUAUUACCUCUUGAACCGGAAAAUGGCGCAACUCAAGAAAAUGUUCCUGAGGUGCCUGCACCGACUAGAGAGGAAGUUAAUGAUCAAGAUACUUCUGAUCAAGCCCCUACUGAAAUUCGAAGGUCCACAAGGACACGUUCCGCACCAGAGUGGUACGACAACCCUGUCUUGGAAAUCAUGCUGUUAGACAACGGUGAACCUUCGAACUAUGAAGAAGCGAUGGCGGGCCCGGAUUCCGACAAAUGGCUAGAAGCCAUGAAAUCCGAGAUAGGAUCCAUGUAUGAAAACAAAGUAUGGACUUUGACUGACUUGCCCGUUGAGCGGCGAGCCAUAGAAAAUAAAUGGAUCUUUAAGAGGAAGACAGACGCGGAUGGUAAUGUGACCAUCUAUAAAGCUCGGCUUGUCGCUAAGGGUUAUCGACAAGUUCAAGGGGUUGACUACGAUGAGACUUUCUCACCGGUAGCGAAGCUGAAGUCCGUUCGAAUCAUGUUAGCAAUUGCCGCAUUCUAUGAUUACGAAAUAUGGCAAAUGGACGUCAAAACGGCAUUCCUUAAUGGUUUCCUUAAGGAAGAAUUGUAUAUGAUGCAGCCGGAAGGUUUUGUCGAUCCUGAGAAUGCUGACAAAGUGUGCAAGCUCCAACGCUCGAUUUAUGGGCUGGUGCAAGCAUCUCGGAGUUGGAACAUUCGCUUUGAUGAGAUGAUCAAAGCGUUUGGGUUUACACAGACUUAUGGAGAAGCCUGCGUUUACAAGAAAGUGAGUGGGAGCUCUGUAGCAUUUCUCAUAUUAUAUGUAGAUGACAUACUUUUGAUGGGAAAUGAUAUAGAACUCUUGGACAGCAUCAAGGCCUACUUGAAUAAAAGUUUUUCAAUGAAGGACCUUGGAGAAGCUGCUUAUAUAUUAGGCAUCAAAAUCUAUAGAGAUAGAUCGAGACGCCUCAUAGGUCUUUCACAAAGCACAUACCUUGAUAAAAUAUUGAAGAAGUUCAAUAUGGAUCAAUCCAAGAAGGGGUUCUUGCCUGUGUUACAAGGUAUGAAAUUGAGCUCAGCUCAAUGUCCGACCACGGCAGAAGAUAUAGAAGAGAUGAGCGUCAUCCCCUAUGCCUCAGCCAUAGGUUCUAUUAUGUAUGCCAUGCUGUGUACCAGACCUGAUGUUAACCUUGCCAUCAGUUUGGUAGGAAGGUACCAAAGUAAUCCCGGCAAGGAACACUGGACAGCGGUCAAGAAUAUCCUGAAGUACCUGAAAAGGACUAAGGAAAUGUUUCUUGUUUAUGGAGGUGACGAAGAGCUCGUCGUAAAGGGUUACGUCGACGCUAGCUUCGACACAGAUCUGGAUGACUCUAAGUCACAAACCGGAUACGUGUAUAUUUUGAAUGGUGGGGCAGUAAGCUGGUGCAGUUGCAAGCAAAGCGUCGUGGCGGGAUCUACAUGUGAAGCGGAGUACAUGGCAGCCUCGGAGGCAGCACAUGAAGCAAUAUGGGUGAAGGAGUUCAUCACCGACCUAGGAGUCAUACCCAAUGCGUCGGGGCCGAUCAAGCUCUUCUGUGACAACACUGGAGCUAUUGCACUUGCCAAGGAGCCCAGGUUUCACAAGAAGACAAGGCACAUCAAGCGUCGCUUCAACUCCAUUCGUGAAAAUGUUCAAGAUGGAGACAUAGAGAUUUGUAAAGUACAUACGGACCUGAAUAUACCAGAUCCGUUGACUAAACCUCUCCCUAGAGCAAAACAUGAUCAACACCAGAAUUCCAUGGGUGUUCGAUUCAUCACAAUGUAACUAGAUUAUUGACUCUAGUGCAAGUGGGAGACUGUUGGAAAUAUGCCCUAGAGGCAAUAAUAAAAGCAUUAUUAUUAUAUUUCCUUGUUCAUGAUAAUUGUCUUUAUUCAUGCUAUAAUUGUGUUAUCCGGAAAUCGUAAUACAUGUGUGAAUAACAGACACCAACAUGUCCCUAGUGAGCCUCUAGUUGACUAGCUCGUUGAUCAACAGAUAGUCAUGGUUUCCUGACUAUGGACACUGGAUGUCAUUGAUAACGAGAUCACAUCAUUGGGAGAAUGAUGUGAUGGACAAGACCCAAUCCUAAACAUAGCACAAGAUCGUAUAGUCCGUUUGCUAGAGUUUUCCAAUGUCAAAGUAUCUUUUCCUUAGACCAUGAGAUCGUGUAACUCCCGGAUACCGUAGCAGUGCUUUGGGUAUGCCAAACGUCACAACAUAACUGGGUGACUAUAAAGGUAGACUAUGGGUAUCUCCGAAACUGUCUGUUGGGUGACAUGGAUCAAGACUGGGAUUUGUCACUCCGUAUGACGGAGAGGUAUCACUGGGCCCACUCGGUAAUGCAUCAUCAUAAUGAGCUCAGAGUGACCAAGUGUCUGGUCACGGGAUCAUGCAUUACGGUACGAGUAAAGUGACUUGCCAGUAACGAGAUUGAACGAGGUAUUGGGACACCGACGAUCGAAUCUCGGGCAAGUAACAUAUCGAUAGACAAAGGGAAUAAUGUACGGGAUUGAUUAAAUCCUCGACAUCGUGGUUCAUCCGAUGAAGAUCAUCGUGGAGCAUGUGGGAGCCAACAUGGGUAUCCAGAUCCCGCUGUUGGUUAUUGACCGGAGAGUCGUCUCGGUCAUGUCUGCUUGUCUCCCGAACCCGUAGGGUCUACACACUUAAGGUUCGGUGACGCUAGGGUUAUGAAGAUAUGUAUAUGCAGAAACCCGAAUGUUGUUCGGAGUCCCGGAUGAGAUCCCGGACGUCACGAGGAGUUCCGGAAUGGUCCGUAGGUAAAGAAUUAUAUAUAGGAAGUGCUAUUUCGGGCAUCGGGACAAGUUUCGGGGUUAUCGGUAUUGUACGGGGACCACCGGAAGGGUCCCGGGGGUCCACCGGGUGGGGCCACCUGUCCCGGGGGGCCACAUGGGCUGUAGGGGGUGCGCCUUGGCCUAGAUGGGCCAAGGGAACCAGCCCCUAUAGGCCCAUGCGCCUAGGGUUUCCACCAUGGAAGAGUCCAUGUGGUGGAAGGCACCCCUAGGUGCCUUGGGGGGGAGGGAAACCUCCCCUUGGCCGCCGCCCCCGUUAGUAGAUCUCAUCUACUAGGGCCGGCGCCCCCCUGGCACCCCUAUAUAUAGUGGGGGGGAGAGGAGGGAUUUCACACCAGCCCCUGGCGCCUCCAUCUCCCCCCGUUACGUCUCUCCCUCGUAGUCUCGGCGAAGCCCUGCUGCUGUGACGCCCUGCAUCCACCACCACGCCGUCGUGCUGCUGGAUCUUCAUCAACCUCUCCUUCCCCCUUGCUGGAUCAAGAAGGAGGAGACGUCUCCCGUCCCGUACGUGUGUUGAACGCGGAGGUGCCGUCUGUUCGGCGCUGGUCAUCGGUGAUUUGAAUCACGUCGAGUACGACUACAUCAUCACCGUUCUUUUGAACGCUUCCGUGCGCGAUCUACAAAGGUAUGUAGAUGCAUCUAAUCACUCGUUGCUAGAUGAACUCCUAGAUGAUCUUGGUGAAACGAGCAGGAAAGUUUUUGUUUUCUGCAACGUUCCCCAACACAUCGAGCUUAAACAUAUCGCAAACGUAAAAACAAUAUAACGGGAUUAAUAUAUAUUGCGCACGUGCGAUAUGUUUGUCACAAGGCGCAAAAAAUAAUUAAAAAGGGGAUGCAACACGAGGACUUCCCAAGAGGUCACCCAUCCUAGUACUACUCUCGCCCAAGCACGCUUCACUUCGGAGUUCUGAUGGGAUCCGGUGCUUUAGUGCUGGUAUGAUCGCAUCCGACAUAUUUCCCCUUCUUCGUCCCUUAUGCUUGCCACUCCCAUGUCCUCCCCAAAGACGAUUCUACAUUCUCACUACCAUUACAAUCGUUCCCUAACAAUGGAUAAUGUCCUAUACUACUUACUCUCCCGCUCAAUCACGGAGACGAGUUUUCCACGGUUUCCACCCCUCCCUCCAUACCGCAGCAACACGAGUUUUUUCCACCCCUUGCAGAACGCGCUCUUCGCGCCACAAAGCCGCCCCAAGACGCGCGAGCAAUGAGCAUCGAGCUUAAACAUAUCGCAAACGUCAAAAAUAAUAUAACGGGAUUAAUAUAUAUCGCGCAUGUGCGAUAUGUUUGUCACAAGGCGUAAAAAUAAUUAAAAAGGGAAUGCAACACGAGGACUUCCCAGGAGGUCACCCAUCCUGGUACUACUCUCGCCCAAGCACGCUUAACUUCGGAGUUCUGGUGGGAUCCGUUGCUUUACUGCUGGUAUGAUUGCAUCCGAGAUGUUUCCCCGUCUUCGUCCCUUAUGCUUGCCACUCCCAGGUCCGCUCCAAAGACGAUUAUGCAUUCUCACUACCAUUACAACCGUUCCCUAACAAUGGAUAAUGUCCUAUACUACUUACUCUCCCGCUCAAUCACGGAGACGAGUUUUCCACGGUUUCCACCCCUCCCUCCAUACCGCAGCAACACGAGUUUUUUCCACCUCUUUCAGAAUGCGCUCUUCGCGCCACAAAGCCGCCCCAAGACGCGCGAGCAAUGAGCAUCGAGCUUAAACAUAUCGCAAACGUCAAAAAUAAUAUAACGAGAUUAAUAUAUAUCGCGCACGUGCGAUAUGUUUGUCACAAGGCGCAAAAAAUAAUUAAAAAGGGAAUGCAACACGAGGACUUCCUAGGAGGUCACCCAUCCUAGUACUACUCUCGCCCAAGCACGCUUAACUUCAAAGUUCUGAUGGGAUCCGGUGCUUUAGUGCUGGUAUGAUCCCAUCCGACAUGUUUCCCCGUCUUCGUCCCUUAUGCUUGCCACUCCCAGGUCCGCUCCAAGGAUGAUUCUACAUUCUCACUACCAUUACAACCGUUCCCUAACAAUGGAUAAUAUCCUAUACUACUUACUCUCCCGCUCAAUCACGGAGACGAGUUUUCCACGGUUUCCACCCCUCCCUCCAUACCGCAGCAACACAAAUUUUUUCCACCCCUUUCAGAACGCGCUCUUCGCGCCACAAAGCCGCCCCAAGACGCGCGGGCAAUGAGCAUCGAGCUUAAACAUAUCGCAAACGUCAAAAACAAUAUAACGGGAUUAAUAUAUAUCGCGCACGUGUGAUAUGUUUGUCACAAGGCGCAAAAAAUAAUUAAAAAGGGAAUGCAACACGAGGACUUCCCAAGAGGUCACCCAUCCUAGUACUACUCUCUCCCAAGCACGCUUAACUACGGAGUUUUGAUGGGAUCCGGUGCUUUAGUGCUGGUAUGAUCACAUCUGACAUGUUUCCCCGUUUUCGUCCCUUAUGCUUGCCACUCCCAGGUCCGCUCCAAAGACGAUUCUACAUUCUCACUACCAUUACAACCGUUCCCUAACAAUGGAUAAUGUCCUAUACUACUUACUCUCGCGCUCAAUCACGGAGACGGGUUUUCCACGGUUUCCACCCCUACCUCCAUACCGCAGCAACACGAGUUUUUUCCACCCCUUUCAGAACACGCUCUUCGCGCCACAAAGCCGCCUCAAGACGCGCGAGAAAUGAGCAUCGAGCUUAAACAUAUCGCAAACGUCAAAAAUAAUAUAACGGGAUUAAUAUAUAUCGCGCAUGUGCGAUAUGUUUGUCACAAGGCGCAAAAAAUUAUUAAAAAGGGAAUGCAACACGAGGACUUCCCAGGAGGUCACCCAUGCUAGUACUACUCUCGCCCAAGCACGCUUAACUUCGGAGUUCUGAUGGGAUCCAGUGCUUUAGUGCUGGUAUGAUCGCAUCCGACAUGUUUCCCCGUCUUCGUCCCUUAUGCUUGCCAUUCCCAGGUCCGCUCCAAAGACGAUUCUACAUUCUCACUACCAUUACAACCGUUACCUAACAAUGGAUAAUGUCUUAUACUACUUACUCUCCCGCUCAAUCACGGAGACGAGUUUUCCACGGUUUCCACCCCUCCCUCCAUACCGCAGCAACACGAGUUUUUUCCACCCCUUUCAGAACGCACUCUUCGCGCCACAAAGCCACCCAAGACGCGCGAGCAAUGAGCAUCGAGCUUAAACAUAUCGCAAACGUCAAAAAUAAUAUAACGGGAUUAAUAUAUAUCGCGCACGUGCGAUAUGUUUGUCACAAGGCGCAAAAAAUAAUUAAAAAGGGAAUGCAAGACGAGGACUUCCCAGGAGGUCACCCAUCCUAGUAGUACUCUCGCCCAAGCACGCUUAGCUUCGGAGUUCUGAUGGGAUCCGGUGCUUUAGUGCUGGUAUGAUCGCAUCCGACAUGUUUCCCCGUCUUCGUCCCUUAUACUUGCCACUCCUAGGUCCGCUCCAAAGACGAUUCUACAUUCUCACUACCAUUACAACCGUUCCCUAACAAUGGAUAAUGUCCUAUACUACUUACUCUCCCGCUCAAUCACGGAGACGAGUUUUCCACGGUUUCCACCCCUCCCUCCAUAACGCAGCAACACGAGUUUUUUCACCCCUUUCAGAACGCGCUCUUCGUGCCACAAAGCCGCCCCAAGACGCGCGAGCAAUGAGCAUCGAGCUUAAACAUAUCGCAAACGUCAAAAAUAAUAUAACGGGAUUAAUAUAUAUCGCACACGUGCGAUAUGUUUGUCACAAGGCGCAAAAAAGAAUUAAAAAGGGAAUGCAACAUGAGGACUUCCCAGGAGGUCACCCAUGCUAGUACUACUCUCGCCCAAGCACGCUUAACUUCGGAGUUCUGAUGGGAUCCGGUGCUUUAGUGCUGGUAUGAUCGCAUCCGACAUGUUUCCCCGUCUUCGUCCCUUAUGCUUGCCAUUCCCAGGUCCGCUCCAAAGACGAUUCUACAUUCUCACUACCAUUACAACCGUUACCUAACAAUGGAUAAUGUCCUAUACUACUUACUCUCCCGCUCAAUCACGGAGACGAUUUUUCCACGGUUUCCACCCCUCCCUCCAUACCGCAGCAACACGAGUUUUUUCCACCCCUUUCAGAACGCACUCUUCGCGCCACAAAGCCACCCAAGACGCGCGAGCAAUGAGCAUCGAGCUUAAACAUAUCGCAAACAUCAAAAAUAAUAUAACGGGAUUAAUAUAUAUCGCGCACGUGCGAUAUGUUUGUCCCAAGGCGCAAAAAAUAAUUAAAAAGGGAAUGCAACACGAGGACUUCCCAGGAGGUCACCCAUCCUAGUACUACUCUCGCCCAAGCACGCUUAGCUUCGGAGUUCUGAUGGGAUCCGGUGCUUUAGUGCUGGUAUGAUCGCAUCCGACAUGUUUCCCCAUCUUCGUCCCUUAUGCUUGCCACUCCCAGGUCCGCUCCAAAGACGAUUCUACAUUCUCACUACCAUUACAACCCUUCCCUAACAAUGGAUAAUGUCCUAUACUACUUACUCUCCCGCUCAAUCACGGAGACGAGUUUUCCACNNNNNNNNNNNNNNNNNNNNNNNNNNNNNNNNNNNNNNNNNNNNNNNNNNNNNNNNNNNNNNNNNNNNNNNNNNNNNNNNNNNNNNNNNNNNNNNNNNNNNNNNNNNNNNNNNNNNNNNNNNNNNNNNNNNNNNNNNNNNNNNNNNNNNNNNNNNNNNNNNNNNNNNNNNNNNNNNNNNNNNNNNNNNNNNNNNNNNNNNNNNNNNNNNNNNNNNNNNNNNNNNNNNNNNNNNNNNNNNNNNNNNNNNNNNNNNNNNNNNNNNNNNNNNNNNNNNNNNNNNNNNNNNNNNNNNNNCGGUUUCCACCCCUAAAAGGGAAUGCAACACGAGGACUUCCCAGGAGGUCACCCAUCCUAGUACUACUCUCGCCCAAGCACGCUUAACUUUGGAGUUCUGAUGGGAUCCGAUGCUUUAGAGCUGGUAUGAUCGCAUCCGACAUGUUUCCCCGUCUUCGUCCCUUAUGCUUGUUACUCCCAGGUCCGCUCCAAAGACGAUUCUACAUUCUCACUACCAUUACAACCGUUCCCUAACAAUGGAUAAUGUCCUAUACUACUUACUCUCCCGCUCAAUCACGGAGACGAGUUUUCCACGGUUUCCACCCCUCCCUCCAUACCGCAGCAACACGAGUUUUUUCCACCCCUUUUAGAACGCGCUCUUUGCGCCACAAAGCCGCCAUAGGACGCGCGAGCAAUGAGCAUCGAGCUUAAACAUAUCGCAAACGUCAAAAAUAAUAUAACGGGAUUAAUAUAUAUUACGCAUGUGCGAUAUGUUUGUCACAAGGCGCAAAAAAUAAUUAAAAAGGGAAUGCAACAUGGGGAUUUCCCAGGAGGUCACCCAUCCUAGUACUGCUCUCGCCCAAGCACUCUUAACUUUGGAGUUCUGAUGGGAUCCGGUGCUUUAGUGCUGGUAUGAUCGCAUCCGACAUGUUUCCCCGUCUUCGUGCCGUAUGCUUGCCACUCUCAGGUCCGCUCCAAAGACGAUUCUACAUUCUCACUACCAUUACAACCGUUCCCUAACAAUGGACAAUGUCCUAUACUACUUACUCUCCCGCUCAAUCACGGAGAUGAGUUUUCCACGGUUUCCACCCCUCCCUCCAUACCGCAGCAACACGAGUUUUUUCCACCCCUUUCAGAACGCGCUCUUCGCGCCACAAAGCCGCCCCAAGACGCGUGAGCAAUGAGCAUCGAGCUUAAACAUAUCGCAAACGUCAAAAAUAAUAUAACGGGAUUAAUAUAUAUCGCGCACGCGCGAUAUGUUUGUCACAAGGCGCAACAAAUAAUUAAAAAGGAAAUGCAACACGAGGACUUCCCAAGAGGUCACCCAUCCUAGUACUACUCUCGCCCAAGCACGCUUAACUUCGGAGUUUUGAUGGGAUCCAGUGCUUUAGUGCUUGUAUGAUCGCAUCCGACAUGUUUCCCCGUCUUCGUCCCUUAUGCUUGCCAUUCCCAGGUCCGCUCCAAAGACGAUUCUACAUUCUCACUACCAUUACAACCGUUACCUAACAAUGGAUAAUGUCCUAUACUACUUACUCUCCCGCUCAAUCACGGAGACGAGUUUUCCACGGUUUCCACCCCUCCCUCCAUACUGCAGCAACACGAGUUUUUCCACCCCUUUCAGAACGCGCUCUUCGCGCCACAAAGCCACCCCAAGACGCGCGGGCAAUGAGCAUUGAGCUUAAACAUAUCGCAAACGUCAAAAAUAAUAUAACGGGAUUAAUAUAUAUCGCGCACGUGAGAUAUGUUUGUCACAAGGCGCAAAAAAUAAUUAAAAAGGGAAUGCAACACGAGGACUUCCCAGGAGGUCACCCAUCCUAGUACUACUCUCGCCCAAGCACGCUUAGCUUCGGAGUUCUGAUGGGAUCCGGUGCUUUAGUGCUGGUAUGAUCGCAUCCGACAUGUUUCCCCAUCUUCGUCCCUUAUGCUUGCCACUCCCAGGUCCGCUCCAAUAUGAUUCUACAUUCUCACUACCAUUACAACCGUUCCCUAACAAUGGAUAAUGUCCUAUACUACUUACUCUCCCGCUCAAUCACGGAGACGAGUUUUCCACGGUUUCCACCCCUCCCUCCAUACCGCAGCAACACGAGUUUUUUCCACCUCUUUCAAAACGCGCUCUUCGUGCCACAAAGCCGCCCCAAGACGAGCGAGCAAUGAGCAUCGAGCUUAAACAUAUCGCAAAUGUCAAAAAUAAUAUAACGGGAUUAAUAUAUAUCGCGCACGUGCGAUAUGUUUGUCACAAGGCGCAAAAAAUAAUUAAAAAGGGAAUGCAACAUGAGGACUUCCUAGGAGGUCACCCAUGCUAGUACUACUCUCGCCCAAGCACGCUUAACUUCGGAGUUCUGAUGGGAUCCGGUGCUUUAGUGCUGGUAUGAUCACAUCCGACAUGUUUCCCCGUCUUUGUCCCUUAUGCUUGCAACUCCCAGGUCCGCUCCAAAGACGAUUCUACAUUCUCACUACCAUUACAACUGUUCCCUAACAAUGGAUAAUGUCCUAUACUACUUACUCUCACGCUCAAUCACAGAGACGGGUUUUCCAUGGUUUCCACCCCUCCCUCCAUACCGCAGCAACACGAGUUUUUUCCACUCCUUUCAGAACGCGCUCUUCGCGCCACAAAGCCGCCCCAAGACGCGCGAGCAAUGAGCAUCGAGCUUAAACAUGUCGCAAACGUCAAAAAUAAUAUAACGGGAUUAAUAUAUAUCGCGCAUGUGCGAUAUGUUUGUCACAAGGCGCAAAAAAUAAUUAAAAAGGGAAUGCAACACGAGGACUUCCCAGG
RNAcentral lists this long non-coding RNA (65723 nucleotides) under Triticum aestivum (bread wheat). RNAcentral's name for it is "long non-coding RNA (TAES_LNC006766)". Lineage: Eukaryota; Viridiplantae; Streptophyta; Magnoliopsida; Poales; Poaceae. The record is from RNAcentral.